RNAcentral lists this long non-coding RNA (75196 nucleotides) under Lactuca sativa (garden lettuce). Its description in RNAcentral is "long non-coding RNA (LSAT_LNC008850)". The record is from RNAcentral. Lineage: Eukaryota; Viridiplantae; Streptophyta; Magnoliopsida; Asterales; Asteraceae.
AAAGUUUCAAUACUUGCCCUCAAGUUUUGGAAUUCGUAAAGUUCUACUUAUGUAGGCUUUAAUUCCAAAUCAUACCCUAAAAUUUUAAAAAGAUUAAAAUUCAACACUUAUACUAUUAUUAUAAUUUUAAUUAUAUAGAUAUGUAUAAGAUAAAGUCAAUCUUAUCAUUAGUAGGCCUCAUUCAUGAAGUCGAUCUAUAAGGGGGGUAUAAGGUUACUGCCUAAAAAAUGUCAGCUUAAUGGGUGUCCACUCUCACCCACCGCUUCCUUGAUUGGUGGAGGGUCGUUAGCUAAACGGUUAGGAAAGGACUAUAAUUCUCCCUUCAUUAAAAGUAUAAUGAUAAAUAAUAAGUAACUAAAUAAUUAUAAAUUCCCAAUCUUAGUUACUUAGGAAAAUGUGAAAUAGGUGCUAACCCAUGAAAUUACACUUCGUACCUUACCAAGUCGUUAGUGGAGCGUGUGUGGUUAACCGGUACACUAAUAAGGACUUGUAAGAGUGGCGAAGGGUAACUUGACUUUAUUAUAAAUCGUUGGAGCAUGUGUGGUUAACCAGCACGUCGAUUAGGUGAUAAAGUUAAGGGUAGCAAGUCAAUUUGCAUGGUUAUUCACACAUUGUUUGUGAUCCUCGGCAUCCCAGUCACAAACUUGAGAGGGAACAAUCGAGAUUCAAACAUGCCAUUGAGAGUUCAAUGUAUCUCAAAAGAUCUAGGAGUUUCAAAUCUAUCUAAAACUUAAUUAUAUUUUGUUUUUCAUGGUGGAAAUUGGUAAAUCGUCAUUUUCCUACCUUCAACUAUUUUAUAGCUUGGAUUACGACAUCCCUCUUCCGGUUAUAUAUAGGUUGUUGGAUCCUAGCCUUAAUAUUUCAUAUUGGGUGUUAUAUUAAGGACUUUAAACUAAUUAAACUGGAAUUUCUCCCAUUAUUGAUGUCUAGUUAAGACAAUUAUGGUCUUCCCAAAUCGUUAGGAACAAGCUUUCCUAUUGAAGAUGAUAUCCCACACACUACUAGAAAAAAGACCUUUAAUGACGUGCAAACAAUGACACGCGGUGAUUUACGAUACGCAAAAGUGUGUGCCCCAAAAAUAAUGUCAUCUCUUCUAAAUUUUGAAGGAUAGAGGAUGCGCUUUUUGUGCGCGCCCUAAAAUCAGUGUCAAAAAAGAAAAAAAAAAGAAAUACGGAGGAUGCCUUUCAUAAGAUGUACGUCAUGUAAGUGUGUCGCUUUAUAUUUUUUUAAUGAAACACACGUUUCAAGCGGGAAAUGAAAUCUCAAAAAUUAAAACCCCGCCUCCUAUUCCAAUUAGCAAGAAAGAAGCCUAGGGUCUUCGUCUUCCCCUCUCUCUCUCUAACCUAAAACUCAAUCUGCGAUUUCAUAGAGAUCUCCCAUGGCUGUAACAAAUGUUGUCUAAUCUCACUGAUCUUCACAGCGAUGGUGGCUUGAGGGAAAGAAUAUGGCAGCGACGGUGGCUCCAAAGCAAAAAGACGCCACGUCGGUGACUUUAGGGAUGGAAGAUAACAAUGAUGAGUGGGUCAACCCUCAUGAAAAUCGAUCCACACUUGCUACUUUUCUCCUACCUUUCUCUCCACCCUUCUCUUUCACCAUAAUCAUCUUCUUAUUCAUUCACAAAAUAUUCAACAUGAAAAUCAAAUCGCUGUUUCAUAUUUCAUUCAUUCAUAUAAAGCCCCGAUAUUUCAAUUCGAUUUUGAACCCUACCUAAAUCAUCAUCCUGGAAAAACCCUAGCACAUCAUCCCUAAAACGCCCAAUAGAAAAAAAAAAACCAGAUUUAAAUCCCUAAUUGAUUCAGACGAUGAGAACUUGGAUGAAGUCGCACCUUCUUCACCCUCCGGUUCGAUUUCAUGGCGUUGUUGAUUCAAAGUUUUAGGUAAUAUUUCUUGAUAUUGUUAUACUCUUAUCUCUUCAACUAUCUUCAAUCGUUCGGCUCAAUGUCUCCAUUCGAUUUGAUUAUCUUCAAUCGAUCGAAGUGAAAGAUGCCUAUAUUUUCGGAGUUGAUUUGUUAGGGUUCGUUCACAUCCCUGUGGAGGAGACCGCGAUCUCCUCUUCAUUCCACGAUCCCCACUUCUACUCUUUAUGCAUCUCAGGUAUUCUUCGUUCCUUCUCCCUUAUUCUCAUUCUUGUUUGAUUUCUUAGGUGCGGGAUCCUCCCCCCAUACUUUUCUACUUUUGAGUUCGUACAGAUGAGAGAAUCACGUCAUCUGUCGAUUCAAGGUGGUAUCUCUCCAAUCGUAGGGCACCAUUUACAGAUUUGCGGCUCUUCACGCACACAGAGGAAAUGGUAGAAUUUAGCAAAGGUAGAUUGGAGAGAUACCAUCAGAUACACACUCACAUCCCUAUUGUGCGAUUCAAUUGGCAAAAAAUCAAGUCUACAAUCGAAUUAGGCUGCUCAGGGUUUUCUAACACUAUAUUAGGGUUUUUUUUCAUUUAUAGAGUAGGUAAUUUGAAGAAUGUUGUCCCUAAAAUCAAUUUCUAUAAUCACUUGGUGGCAGACUUGUGUGAACUGUACCAAAAUUCAAGGUUUUAUUCUCAUCUCUUUCAUUGGUUCAUCUUUUUGGCUGAUUAGGUUUGUUUGUGUUUUUAGUUGAUGCAUAUUAAUGCUUAUUUGAUCAAGGAAGUGGCAGGAACUUGGUAGUGAUGAUGAUGUCUUUUAGUUUUUUGGUUGUGAUUCCACCUGAUAAAGUAAGAUACUGUGAAAUAUUCCACCUGAACAAACCCGGUUGGUUGGAGAGAGACAAUCAACAAAAAUGAGGAUCAAAUAUCUUGAAGCAGCACUGAGUCAAGAUAUUCAGUUCUUUGACACUGAAGUCAGAACUUCAGAUGUUGUAUAUGCGAUCAAUACUGAUGCUGUUAUGGUUCAAGACGCCAUUAGUGAAAAGGUGAAAAAGAUCAAAUCUUUUUGACUCAUACAUAUGAGAUUAUUAACUCUGUGUUUGUUUGUGUGUGUGUGUGUGUGUGUAGCUAGGGAAUUUUAUACACUNUACAUGAAAGAAAAAAGUAAGAAUGAAAUUGAAUUUACCCUACUUACAUGGUUUUGUAAUUUGUUUGUUUUGAUGUCUGCCCUUCUUAUACUCCAUAAUAGAUCAGUUGGUGUUGGUCAUCACUAAUGUAAUUAGCCCUAAAUGUCCCAUAUAAAUGAUUGGUUUUGUUCAUUUGUAUUUCUGCAAGAAUAGUUAUAGCAGUAAACAAACAGUAGAAGCUUAUUGAUUUUUUAUGGCUAUGGCCUAUGGGUAUGAUGACAGGGUGAGAUUGGAAUGGCAUUUGGAGAUUUAUUAAAGACAUUAUGGGCUCCUGGGGCAACAGUUGUACCACCACGAACAUUCAAGUCCAAGCUUGCUCAUUUAAGAUUUCCUGAUUUCAAAGAGUUGCAGACUAGUGGCAAGGGCAGCUGCAAGCAUCCUGGAAGUAACAGAAAAAACCGCACGAUUCAAAAUGUUCAUACUUGCAUUCUGUUUUAAGCUCUAAAUGUGGCAGUGGUAUAUUUUCGUCUUUUUUCAUAUUAUAAACUUGCUUCAGAUCUGAAUUUUGAACCUAAUCUUAAUAGCUUAUAUAUAUAAACUACCCUUUUGGCAGCGAUUUUACUUAGUGUAAUAUACAUGGAGAUUUGUCAAAGACUUAAUUUUACUAUUGUUGGGUCAUGGAUUGGUGAAGACUUUUUAAUUUGGCCUGAAACCCGAAACCCAGAGGUAUGUUUAUCCAGCUACUCAUCAAAAUGGUUCAUUUACAAAACAUUUGCAAAGUUUGAAUUGUCUUUAAUUUUUUUCCGAUUACUGUUUGAUUGAAAGGGAUUGAAACUUUUCUCAUUUCAGAAUUCAUUUCAAUCUCUCUGAAUCAUUACAGAACUUAUUACAUAAAUAGAAAUAAACUAAUUAACUUUUUUCAUAACAACCAAAUAAUGAAAAAUUACAUGUAUGCCCCUGAUACAGUAAAAAGUCAAUUCUACCCUUGCAGUUAAUGUUGUUGAAACUGACAUGUUAGAUUGAAAAAAGAGUUAAAGGGAUUGAAACUUUUCUCAUUUUUGAAUUCAUUCAAACUCUCUGAAUCAUUACCAAUGGUGCUUCCCACCUGUGAGAAAUUCCAACUUUAUCAAAUAUGCUGAUAAAUUAGCUGAUACUGUACAGGAUCAGGGUGGUGAGUUGACCCAAUUGACCAAAUAAUAAACUCACACUUUUAUUUCCUUUAAUUUUUAAUAUUUAAUCUUGGCUUUCAGGAGACAUGGGUUCGAAUCCUAUUCCCAAAACCUAAAGUAUCAUCCCCCCUGUGCCAAUUUUUCAUCAAAAUAUAUAGUCUUCAAUGAAACUUGAACUUCAACUCUUCCCUGUUGAUGAAACUACAUGGAGAGCCUUGGAAAUGGUAAGAAACAAUAAUAAAUUAUGUACUCUCAAGAACUGCUAAUCUUUCCAUGCCUCAUGUUGGUGUUCAAGCUGGACCUCCUAGUCUUGUGCAGCAGCAGCAGCAACCUCCAAUUACAGGUUUGGUUUGAAUUUUGAUUCAGUUUUUAUUUUUGUUAUUAUCAUUUAUUGAUAUAAAUUAAAUGGCGUAAUUAAGGUAUAAAUAUCAUCACUCUUACUUAUAUGUCUAUAUCAUUUUCAUGAAAAUGUUUAUGUUGCGUACUAUAUAUUCAUAUGUCCAGUUGUGCUUUCUACAUAGCAAAUGUUAACCUUGGUCUUUGCGUUUUUUGUUCAUAGAUUACAAACACCAAUUUCUUUCAAACAACAGAAGAUCUAGAGUUUAAUUGGGUGAUUGAAGGUGAUUUUGGUUCUUGAAACGAGACUCAAGAUAUCAUAUUUUGGCAUGGCUAUAAUCUUUGGAGGAAACGAGACUCAAGCAAAAGUAAACACACAGAGAGUUGUUGGCACAAAGUAAGCUAGAUGAUGCAAUUGUAUAUAAAUGACUUCAUUUUUUAUAAUAUUUACUCACUUUUGGAAUAAAUUUUUGUAUUUGACAUAUUAGUGAAAUGAAUUAUCUUUGUUAUUUAUUGUAUUUUAUUUUGUAUUAUUUAAUUUGAAAAUUAGUAAAUCUAUAAAUAAUAUUUUCUUUAAACAGUAAAAAUUAUGAUACGCAAAAAUGUGUGUCAUCUUCAUUUAUGACAUGGCCUUUCUUGACAGGGGCUUUAUUGAUACGCAUUGCGUGUCAUAAACACGCGUGUCGUAAGGUUACGACACGCAAAUGCGUGUCGUCUUCCUUUAUGACAGGGACUUCCUUGAUACGCAUUGCGUGUCGUAAACGCGCGUCGUAAUUGCGCGUCGUAGAUGAGCGUCGUAAAUGCGCGUCGUCUCUCUUUAUGACAGGGCCUUCCUUGAUGCGCAUUUGCGCGUCGUUUGAGCCUUUUACGACGCGCAAUGAGCGUCGUAAAAGGCUAUUUUUCUAGUAGUGACAUGAUAAUCAAGGUGAAAGGUUAAUCCCUUGUGCAUUAAUAAGACUGGAAAUCGUGCUUCACUUCCUCCACUUCCUCAAAUUAUUCUCCCUAUCCCACAAGUUCAAAUAUGUGAAAAGUUCAAAGUCACUCAAUCCCUAUUGGCAAGCCGGGAGAGUCGGGUAUCGAAGUCUCGAGGUAGCUGGCUAUUGACCUGGUUCUUCAGUCACACCCUGAUGAUAGAUCAAGACAUGACCCUUAAUGAUCUUACAUAUUUGCUUGAUACUGAUAAAUCAGCAAUGAUUUGGAGCAUGGGUAAAGCAAAGUAGACUAGAAGAUUUACUUCCCAAACCUAUUUGGACAUUGACAAUGGUGACAUUGGAAGUCCAGAAAAACUUUCACUUCCCAAUGGAAAGGGAUUUGCCAUGGUCAAGUCAUUUGACCGAUGGUAAACAGAAAGGCUAAGUCUGAGACAAUCAAGUGUACCAUUUCUAAAGAGUCCAUAUGCUUCUUUUGCCAAAAGAAGGGGCAUUGGUUGCGAAGCUUCUGAAUUGACCUAAAAGUUCAUAAGGAUGGUAAAAGUCAAAAAGAUUGAAUUUGCCUCAGGUAAAAGUCCACUAUCGAACUCUAUUUAGUUCCUAUAUGGAGAUUCUUAAUACAUGAUGUAAUUACAUUUUGAUGUUUUUGAGAAUCAAAGGAAGCUUAGAGAAAGAGUAUGCUAAUUCUGAUCGCGAAAAUGGAUUUCGAUCGCAUGGUUCGAUGAUCAAAAUUUUGAGCUACUGCUUAAGAGUUAUGAUAGAUUGCUUAAGGAAUAGAUAGCAACAUAGUUUUCAUAUGUCUUUGCAUUGUAAGGAUAAGAUAUUUCCGCAAGUUUUAAAAAAAAAAAAGGAAAAAAAAGAGUUUUGAUUUAUUUAUUUUUAGUAUCCUUACAAUGACAUUUGUGACAAAUUGUUGUUUAUAUGAUUUCAUUGAUAGCAAUAUUGGAAAAUAGAUUUGAUUCUUUCAUUUGUGGUAGUGUAAUAAUUUACCAAAUAAGGAAAUAUUCUCAUCACCCAAGUUUCAAUUGGACCGAAACUUGGAAUCAUGCAAGUUGUAUAGUAUGAUGAAUAAGAAUUUUCGUCUUUGGAAAAUUAAGACUAAUUCCUUAUUCACAUGUAUAUGUGAGUCAAGUGAAGGACUAAAGGAUCGGGUACAUUAGGUUGUGUGCUGGUCAAGUCCACCACAAAGGCUACUAAGAUUAUUCAUUAUGAUUUACUAAAGUUUAGUAAAUAUGGUUAUGCUUACAUGUUUAAGUGUAAUUCUGAAACAUUGGAAAGGUUUCAAUGAUUGGCAGAACGAGUAAGAAGAAUCAAAAAAGGCAGGAAGAUAAAAGUUUAUCCAAUCUGAAGAGAUGGGAGAGUGCUUGAGUAUCUUGUUUUAUGAUUAUCUUAGUGAUUAUAAAACCAUAUCACAAUUGAUCCUCUAAGGACACCUUAGUUCAUUUCUUUGCCUAAGCAGAGAAAUCAUUAAUUGUUGACAUGUUUAAAUCAAAAGAUAAAUCAUACUUCGUUCCAAAAUGUUCAUACUUGCAUUCUGUUUUAAGCUGUAAAUGUGGCAGUGGUAUAUUUUCGUCUUUUUUCAUAUUAUAAACUUGCUUCAGAUCUGAAUUUUGAACCUAAUCUUAAUAGCUUAUAUAUAUAAACUACCCUUUUGGCAGCGAUUUUACUUAGUGUAAUAUACAUGGAGAUUUGUCAAAGACUUAAUUUUACUAUUGUUGGGUCAUGGAUUGGUGAAGACUUUUUAAUUUGGCCUGAAACCCGAAACCCAGAGGUAUGUUUAUCCAGCUACUCAUCAAAAUGGUUCAUUUACAAAACAUUUGCAAAGUUUGAAUUGUCUUUAAUUUUUUUCCGAUUACUGUUUGAUUGAAAGGGAUUGAAACUUUUCUCAUUUCAGAAUUCAUUUCAAUCUCUCUGAAUCAUUACAGAACUUAUUACAUAAAUAGAAAUAAACUAAUUAACUUUUUUCAUAACAACCAAAUAAUGAAAAAUUACAUGUAUGCCCCUGAUACAGUAAAAAGACAAUUCUACCCUUACAGUUAAUGUUGUUGAAACUAACUGUUAGAUUGAAAAAAGAGUUAAAGGGAUUGAAACUUUUCUCAUUUUUGAAUUCAUUCAAACUCUCUGAAUCAUUACCAAUGGUGCUUCCCACCUGUGAGAAAUUCCAACUUUAUCAAAUAUGCUGAUAAAUUAGCUGAUACUGUACAGGAUCAGGGUGGUGAGUUGACCCAAUUGACCAAAUAAUAAACUCACACUUUUAUUUCCUUUAAUUUUUAAUAUUUAAUCUUGGCUUUCAGGAGACAUGGGUUCGAAUCCUAUUCCCAAAACCUAAAGUAUCAUCCCCCCUGUGCCAAUUUUUCAUCAAAAUAUAUAGUCUUCAAUGAAACUUGAACUUCAACUCUUCCCUGUUGAUGAAACUACAUGGAGAGCCUUGGAAAUGGUAAGAAACAAUAAUAAAUUAUGUACUCUCAAGAACUGCUAAUCUUUCCAUGCCUCAUGUUGGUGUUCAAGCUGGACCUCCUAGUCUUGUGCAGCAGCAGCAGCAACCUCCAAUUACAGGUUUGGUUUGAAUUUUGAUUCAGUUUUUAUUUUUGUUAUUAUCAUUUAUUGAUAUAAAUUAAAUGGCGUAAUUAAGGUAUAAAUAUCAUCACUCUUACUUAUAUGUCUAUAUCAUUUUCAUGAAAAUGUUUAUGUUGCGUACUAUAUAUUCAUAUGUCCAGUUGUGCUUUCUACAUAGCUAAUGUUAACCUUGGUCUUCGCGUUUUUUGUUCAUAGAUUACAAACACCAAUUUCUUUCAAACAACAGAAGAUCUAGAGUUUAAUUGGGUGAUUGAAGGUGAUUUUGGUUCUUGAAACGAGACUCAAGAUAUCAUAUUUUGGCAUGGCUAUAAUCUUUGGAGGAAACGAGACUCAAGCAAAAGUAAACACACAGAGAGUUGUUGGCACAAAGUAAGCUAGAUGAUGCAAUUGUAUAUAAAUGACUUCAUUUUUUAUAAUAUUUACUCACUUUUGGAAUAAAUUUUUGUAUUUGACAUAUUAGUGAAAUGAAUUAUCUUUGUUAUUUAUUGUAUUUUAUUUUGUAUUAUUUAAUUUGAAAAUUAGUAAAUCUAUAAAUAAUAUUUUCUUUAAACAGUAAAAAUUAUGAUACGCAAAAAUGUGUGUCAUCUUCAUUUAUGACAUGGCCUUUCUUGACAGGGGCUUUAUUGAUACGCAUUGCGUGUCAUAAACACGCGUGUCGUAAGGUUACGACACGCAAAUGCGUGUCGUCUUCCUUUAUGACAGGGACUUCCUUGAUACGCAUUGCGUGUCGUAAACGCGCGUCGUAAUUGCGCGUCGUAGAUGAGCGUCGUAAAUGCGCGUCGUCUCUCUUUAUGACAGGGCCUUCCUUGACGCGCAUUUGCGCGUCGUUUGAGCCUUUUACGACGCGCAAUGAGCGUCGUAAAAGGCUAUUUUUCUAGUAGUGACAUGAUAAUCAAGGUGAAAGGUUAAUCCCUUGUGCAUUAAUAAGACUGGAAAUCGUGCUUCACUUCCUCCACUUCCUCAAAUUAUUCUCCCUAUCCCACAAGUUCAAAUAUGUGAAAAGUUCAAAGUCACUCAAUCCCUAUUGGCAAGCCGGGAGAGUCGGGUAUCGAAGUCUCGAGGUAGCUGGCUAUUGACCUGGUUCUUCAGUCACACCCUGAUGAUAGAUCAAGACAUGACCCUUAAUGAUCUUACAUAUUUGCUUGAUACUGAUAAAUCAGCAAUGAUUUGGAGCAUGGGUAAAGCAAAGUAGACUAGAAGAUUUACUUCCCAAACCUAUUUGGACAUUGACAAUGGUGACAUUGGAAGUCCAGAAAAACUUUCACUUCCCAAUGGAAAGGGAUUUGCCAUGGUCAAGUCAUUUGACCGAUGGUAAACAGAAAGGCUAAGUCUGAGACAAUCAAGUGUACCAUUUCUAAAGAGUCCAUAUGCUUCUUUUGCCAAAAGAAGGGGCAUUGGUUGCGAAGCUUCUGAAUUGACCUAAAAGUUCAUAAGGAUGGUAAAAGUCAAAAAGAUUGAAUUUGCCUCAGGUAAAAGUCCACUAUCGAACUCUAUUUAGUUCCUAUAUGGAGAUUCUUAAUACAUGAUGUAAUUACAUUUUGAUGUUUUUGAGAAUCAAAGGAAGCUUAGAGAAAGAGUAUGCUAAUUCUGAUCGCGAAAAUGGAUUUCGAUCGCAUGGUUCGAUGAUCAAAAUUUUGAGCUACUGCUUAAGAGUUAUGAUAGAUUGCUUAAGGAAUAGAUAGCAACAUAGUUUUCAUAUGUCUUUGCAUUGUAAGGAUAAGAUAUUUCCGCAAGUUUUAAAAAAAAAAAAGGAAAAAAAAGAGUUUUGAUUUAUUUAUUUUUAGUAUCCUUACAAUGACAUUUGUGACAAAUUGUUGUUUAUAUGAUUUCAUUGAUAGCAAUAUUGGAAAAUAGAUUUGAUUCUUUCAUUUGUGGUAGUGUAAUAAUUUACCAAAUAAGGAAAUAUUCUCAUCACCCAAGUUUCAAUUGGACCGAAACUUGGAAUCAUGCAAGUUGUAUAGUAUGAUGAAUAAGAAUUUUCGUCUUUGGAAAAUUAAGACUAAUUCCUUAUUCACAUGUAUAUGUGAGUCAAGUGAAGGACUAAAGGAUCGGGUACAUUAGGUUGUGUGCUGGUCAAGUCCACCACAAAGGCUACUAAGAUUAUUCAUUAUGAUUUACUAAAGUUUAGUAAAUAUGGUUAUGCUUACAUGUUUAAGUGUAAUUCUGAAACAUUGGAAAGGUUUCAAUGAUUGGCAGAACGAGUAAGAAGAAUCAAAAAAGGCAGGAAGAUAAAAGUUUAUCCAAUCUGAAGAGAUGGGAGAGUGCUUGAGUAUCUUGUUUUAUGAUUAUCUUAGUGAUUAUAAAACCAUAUCACAAUUGAUCCUCUAAGGACACCUUAGUUCAUGUCUUUGCCUAAGCAGAGAAAUCAUUAAUUGUUUACAUGUUUAAAUCAAAAGAUAAAUCAUACUUUGUUCCAAAAUGUUCAUACUUGCAUUCUGUUUUAAGCUGUAAAUGUGGCAGUGGUAUAUUUUCGUCUUUUUUCAUAUUAUAAACUUGCUUCAGAUCUGAAUUUUGAACCUAAUCUUAAUAGCUUAUAUAUAUAAACUACCCUUUUGGCAGCGAUUUUACUUAGUGUAAUAUACAUGGAGAUUUGUCAAAGACUUAAUUUUACUAUUGUUGGGUCAUGGACUGGUGAAGACUUUUUAAUUUGGCCUAAAACCCGAAACCCAGAGGUAUGUUUAUCCAGCUACUCAUCAAAAUGGUUCAUUUACAAAACAUUUGCAAAGUUUGAAUUGUCUUUAAUUUUUUUCCGAUUACUGUUUGAUUGAAAGGGAUUGAAACUUUUCUCAUUUCAGAAUUCAUUUCAAUCUCUCUGAAUCAUUACAGAACUUAUUACAUAAAUAGAAAUAAACUAAUUAACUUUUUUCAUAACAACCAAAUAAUGAAAAAUUACAUGUAUGCCCCUGAUACAGUAAAAAGACAAUUCUACCCUUACAGUUAAUGUUGUUGAAACUAACUGUUAGAUUGAAAAAAGAGUUAAAGGGAUUGAAACUUUUCUCAUUUUUGAAUUCAUUCAAACUCUCUGAAUCAUUACCAAUGGUGCUUCCCACCUGUGAGAAAUUCCAACUUUAUCAAAUAUGCUGAUAAAUUAGCUGAUACUGUACAGGAUCAGGGUGGUGAGUUGACCCAAUUGACCAAAUAAUAAACUCACACUUUUAUUUCCUUUAAUUUUUAAUAUUUAAUCUUGGCUUUCAGGAGACAUGGGUUCGAAUCCUAUUCCCAAAACCUAAAGUAUCAUCCCCCCUGUGCCAAUUUUUCAUCAAAAUAUAUAGUCUUCAAUGAAACUUAAACUUCAACUCUUCCCUGUUGAUGAAACUACAUGGAGAGCCUUGGAAAUGGUAAGAAACAAUAAUAAAUUAUGUACUCUCAAGAACUGCUAAUCUUUCCAUGCCUCAUGUUGGUGUUCAAGCUAGACCUCCUAGUCUUGUGCAGCAGCAGCAGCAACCUCCAAUUACAGGUUUGGUUUGAAUUUUGAUUCAGUUUUUAUUUUUGUUAUUAUCAUUUAUUGAUAUAAAUUAAAUGGCGUAAUUAAGGUAUAAAUAUCAUCACUCUUACUUAUAUGUCUAUAUCAUUUUCAUGAAAAUGUUUAUGUUGCGUACUAUAUAUUCAUAUGUCCAGUUGUGCUUUCUACAUAGCAAAUGUUAACCUUGGUCUUUGCGUUUUUUGUUCAUAGAUUACAAACACCAAUUUCUUUCAAACAACAGAAGAUCUAGAGUUUAAUUGGGUGAUUGAAGGUGAUUUUGGUUCUUGAAACGAGACUCAAGAUAUCAUAUUUUGGCAUGGCUAUAAUCUUUGGAGGAAACGAGACUCAAGCAAAAGUAAACACACAGAGAGUUGUUGGCACAAAGUAAGCUAGAUGAUGCAAUUGUAUAUAAAUGACUUCAUUUUUUAUAAUAUUUACUCACUUUUGGAAUAAAUUUUUGUAUUUGACAUAUUAGUGAAAUGAAUUAUCUUUGUUAUUUAUUGUAUUUUAUUUUGUAUUAUUUAAUUUGAAAAUUAGUAAAUCUAUAAAUAAUAUUUUCUUUAAACAGUAAAAAUUAUGAUACGCAAAAAUGUGUGUCAUCUUCAUUUAUGACAUGGCCUUUCUUGACAGGGGCUUCCUUGAUACGCAUUGCGUGUCAUAAACACGCGUGUCGUAAGGUUACGACACGCAAAUGCGUGUCGUCUUCCUUUAUGACAGGGCCUUCCUUGAUACGCAUUGCGUGUCAUAACCGCGCGUCGUAAAUGCGCGUCGUAAAUGCGCGUCGUAAAUGCGCGUCGUCUAUAGACGACGCACAAAAGCGCGUCGUCUCUCUUUAUGACAGGGCCUUCCUUGACGCGCAUUUGCGCGUCGUUUGAGCCUUUUACGACGCGCAAUGAGCGUCGUAAAAGGCUAUUUUUCUAGUAGUGACAUGAUAAUCAAGGUGAAAGGUUAAUCCCUUGUGCAUUAAUAAGACUGGAAAUCGUGCUUCACUUCCUCCACUUCCUCAAAUUAUUCUCCCUAUCCCACAAGUUCAAAUAUGUGAAAAGUUCAAAGUCACUCAAUCCCUAUUGGCAAGCCGGGAGAGUCGGGUAUCGAAGUCUCGAGGUAGCUGGCUAUUGACCUGGUUCUUCAGUCACACCCUGAUGAUAGAUCAAGACAUGACCCUUAAUGAUCUUACAUAUUUGCUUGAUACUGAUAAAUCAGCAAUGAUUUGGAGCAUGGGUAAAGCAAAGUAGACUAGAAGAUUUACUUCCCAAACCUAUUUGGACAUUGACAAUGGUGACAUUGGAAGUCCAGAAAAACUUUCACUUCCCAAUGGAAAGGGAUUUGCCAUGGUCAAGUCAUUUGACCGAUGGUAAACAGAAAGGCUAAGUCUGAGACAAUCAAGUGUACCAUUUCUAAAGAGUCCAUAUGCUUCUUUUGCCAAAAGAAGGGGCAUUGGUUGCGAAGCUUCUGAAUUGACCUAAAAGUUCAUAAGGAUGGUAAAAGUCAAAAAGAUUGAAUUUGCCUCAGGUAAAAGUCCACUAUCGAACUCUAUUUAGUUCCUAUAUGGAGAUUCUUAAUACAUGAUGUAAUUACAUUUUGUUGUUUUUGAGAAUCAAAGGAAGCUUAGAGAAAGAGUAUGCUAAUUCUGAUCGCGAAAAUGGAUUUCGAUCGCAUGGUUCGAUGAUCAAAAUUUUGAGCUACUGCUUAAGAGUUAUGAUAGAUUGCUUAAGGAAUAGAUAGCAACAUAGUUUUCAUAUGUCUUUGCAUUUUAAGGAUAAGAUAUUUCCGCAAGUUUUAAAAAAAAAGGAAAAAAAAAGAGUUUUGAUUUAUUUAUUUUUAGUAUCCUUACAAUGACAUUUGUGACAAAUUGUUGUUUAUAUGAUUUCAUUGAUAGCAAUAUUGGAAAAUAGAUUUGAUUUUUUCAUUUGUGGUAGUGUAAUAAUUUACCAAAUAAGGAAAUAUUCUCAUCACCCAAGUUUCAAUUGGACCGAAACUUGGAAUCAUGCAAGUUGUAUAGUAUGAUGAAUAAGAAUUUUCGUCUUUGGAAAAUUAAGACUAAUUCCUUAUUCACAUGUAUAUGUGAGUCAAGUGAAGGACUAAAGGAUCGGGUACAUUAGGUUGUGUGCUGGUCAAGUCCACCACAAAGGCUACUAAGAUUAUUCAUUAUGAUUUACUAAAGUUUAGUAAAUAUGGUUAUGCUUACAUGUUUAAGUGUAAUUCUGAAACAUUGGAAAGGUUUCAAUGAUUGGCAGAACGAGUAAGAAGAAUCAAAAAAGGCAGGAAGAUAAAAGUUUAUCCAAUCUGAAGAGAUGGGAGAGUGCUUGAGUAUCUUGUUUUAUGAUUAUCUUAGUGAUUAUAAAACCAUAUCACAAUUGAUCCUCUAAGGACACCUUAGUUCAUUUGUUUGCCUAAGCAGAGAAAUCAUUAAUUGUUGACAUGUUUAAAUCAAAAGAUAAAUCAUACUUCGUUCCAAAAUCAAAUCUAUACACCAACAUUGAGCCUUGAGUGACAUAAUCUUACGGAAGGUUUAAAACACUUGUCAAAUGUAGAGUAAAACGUUGUCUUACUCUUGUACAUUUGAAAUUGGUAAGUUGUGAUGUUUUGGAUAAGACAAAGACCAACUAAUACCAAUUGUGAGAAAUGUUUUUCCUUGAUAAGAAUCCAUACUAACUCUUAAAUAUUUGUUUUGUCGAGGUUUAGUUCUUGACAAAGAGAAUCUUAUAUGUCAAGAGGACAGUGGAGUCCUGACAUAGUUUCGAGAACUGAUCAAGAGUAUUGUUAAUCACUAGCCCACGACUUUAGGUUUAUAACCUAUCGUGUUGACUUAUUCUUGUUUAUGUGUCAUUCCAGUUAAAGUUGGCUAUUUUUAUGAGUUCUAUGAGUUCUCAAUUAUUUGCAUAACAACCUAGAAGAAAUGGUAGACCCUUGUGCUGCCGGGUGGCAAGAAAAUGAGACUGGGCGAGUUCAGUCCGUAUGAAUUUGGAUUUGUCACUAAACUUGACUUGUGAUUAUGGUUAUGACAAAUUCAAAUGGAUAGGAACACUUACACCAUAAAAAUCUAAGUGUUAUAAGGUUUCUCUUCGUUUCAUGAAAAUGAUGGUGAGGAAACGCUUUCACUGAGUAGAAUUUAAGUAGAUAGCAAUUGUGAUAUUUGCAUUCUCAUGUCAUUAGUGGAGCGUGUGUGGUUAACCAGCACACUAACUAGUGAGAAUGGAAAAAGGUCUAUGCAUUAUGAUUACGACAUCCCUCUUCAUAAUUGUUUAGACACACAUGUGAGCUAUCUAAGGAAAAGUGUAUGGUUUUGAUAAAGUCUUAUCAAAGCAUCUCGUAUCAGAAAUUUGAACUUUGUUAAGAAAGUCAAUAAAGUAUUGAUUUCUAGAAGUCCAGUUUAUUUCUGGGUACAUGUCAAAGCUAGUGGGAGCAUAAGUGCUAUGCUAGUAAGAUAAUAAUUAUCAUGUUAGUGGGAGCAUUAUUAUUAUGCUAAGUGUUGCAAGUUAGCAGUGUUAAUUAUAGAAAACAAAAGUUUCAAUUGGGUUUGAAAAGUUGUUUUGCUAUAAUUAAGGGAGAGGAUUUUAUACUUCAUUUCAAUUCUACAAGCUUAGAUUGAGAUUUUAGUCAACUUUAGUCAAAUAUAUAUAUAUAUAUAUAUAUAUAUAUAUAUAUAUAUGAAUGGUAUGUUGGAAUGGUUUAACAUAAUGAAAUUCUAUUUAGGUUGCGUUCUCAAAAUUCGAUUAUGAUUACGGCAUCCUGUAGAAGAAUUGUAUUCGAGAAAUCGAUUAAGAUCAAAAUGAUCAGUAUGACGAACACAAAAAGUAAAUAAGUCUUUGAAGUUUUAUUACUCUCUCAAUAAGCUCUAUUACAAAAAAUACUAAGUCUAUUACAAUAACGCUUCGUACAAAAUUGACAUAGUAAAUACAUUACAUACGAAAAUAGACUAAACACUAUUCGACUAUUUACAAGACUUCAACCCUUACAAUCUCCCCCUUUGUAAACGAGUCGAACUACUCAAUUCGUGAGAAUCUGAGCAGCUAAGUGCAUCAUCCUUCGUAUCUCAUAAUACCAUGUUAAAACCUUCUUUAACUCCUUCUUGUCACUAUAAUUAUUUGUCUUGCAGGUUUUCAUACAAACAAUAAUGUUCGUAUAUUGUGACGUUGUAUAUCUUUCGAUCUUAGCAACUUGAAAAAGAAAUCUUUUAACUUUUCCUUUAGUGUCUUUUCAAACAAAAACCAAACCAAAUGGUUUUAAGCAAAUUUCUCCAUCAACAUACUUUUUCAACUCAAACUGUGUCUUCGAAAGUUCCAUUGAAACAGAUACUUUGGUAUCCAUACUCGAAGCCAACUCUUCGUCAGUCAGGGCAAGACAAUCAUAAUAAUUGUCAAUGAAGAUUUUUAUGUGAGCAAGACCUAGUCUGAACACUUCUUUGUCAAUACCCUUAAGUUGUGAUGCCUCCAUUUCUUUUAAAAUUAAUGCAACUUGAAUAAGAUCAUUCAAGUUCAUUAGAGGAAAAUCUGCAACACUGAAGUCAACAGCUUGAUUGUUUGCACGAACAACAAGAUAUCUGAAAUUUUGUAUCAUGUUUUCAAACAAGACAUCUUUCUUGAUAGCAACAACUUUCUUGAUCUUGAUCAGAGACCACACUUCAUCUUGCUCUUUUCCAAGUACAUCAUGAAAACGAUUUUUCAUGUGCGUAUAAUCAUCUGGAUUUUCGAAUUUCUCACUAACCUUGUAUUGAGUUGUGAUAAACAUUAUUUUGUUUAUCGGAAAGUCCAACUAACACAAAUCAGUGUUAGCAAUGGAAUAACUUUUCGUUGGAAUUUUUUUCUGAAAUCAUACAUGUGAUUGAAUGCAACCCUCGAUUCGAUUGAUUCAUAUGAAUACAGCUUUCUGGGAUCACCUUUUUCCAUACUAGGUAGGUCACUUGCUCUCAACCUCAUAAUACUUUGUAUAUGCCUUUGAAGUUCGAUUUCAGCCUCCACCUCUACUUUCUUUUCUUCUUAAGUCUUUUCGACUAGCAUACCCUUUCCUUUGUCUUUUGAAUCUUGAUUUGGUUUUACAGAAGUUGAACUACCCUCUUCUCUAUCUAAGCCAAUCACAAUCCCUUUUGUAAUCGGUUUUGUAGUAACAAUGGUUAUAGAGAUAGUAUCAGAUUUCAUCGGAAUUGUAACUUGAAUUUGUGUAGAAAACACUUUUCCAACAACUUUUGAAUCUCCUUUGCUCACCUUCGAUUCUCCCACUUGCACCCCUAUAACAACAGGUGGGGCAUUUUGUCGCAACAUUUGAGCAAAUUUGGAAAUAGGAGCAACUGCCUUCUGAAUACCUUGAUCAAGUAAAUUCAACUUCUGAGUAAGGAACUCAGGAGUUAAAAAUGAAGUUGGAAUAGGCUUCGAAACAACAGCUUUAAGCUCCUCAAGAAGAGUCUGCAAUUUAGCAAGCUGAUUUGUGUCUUUAAUUGCUUUCGUUUCAAAUUUUGGCAUUGUGUCUUGAAAUGUUUUGACAAAAUUUGUAACUGCCCCAACAAUUAUAUCAACCUUUUCCUGAAUGGAAUUGUACUGAGAAUUCAUAUUCUCAAUUAUGUGAGAUACUUCUUUCUUCAAUUCUUCCAACAUCAGGUUAACAUCUUCGCGAACCUUUUUGACAUCUUGUACAAAAAGAACAUGACGUUCCUUCGCAACAGCUUUCAAAUCUUUUAAGGCCCCUUCAAAAUUUCCUGCCUAAGUCUUGAUACGAAGUUAACUAUUUUGAUCAGAUAAAUCAAUCUUUUCAUGAAGUCUUCUUUCAGCUGCCUUGAUCAUUAACUCAACUUCAAGACCCAAAAGAGAAUGUUUUGUUCCUGAAUCAGCUUGUGAUUGAAGAAGUGAAGUUAGCUUCCUGUUCAAGAUUUUAAAUUGUUUUCCUGACAUUAACAUAUGAUCAGGAAUCUCCUCCUCUUCCAAAUCAAAUUGCAAAUCUUCGAAAGUGCCUCCAAAACCUCCUCCUUCUGUUUCAUCAUCGGAUUGCGGUUUAGGUGUGUCAGUGGAUUGUGAUGGAAGAAGAGUAGUAAUUGGUUGUUGAAGUAUAGAUGAAAACAAUGGAGAUGAAGUAGAAGUUGAUAGUGGUGGUGGUAAAGAAACAAAUGGAGUGGAAAUGAUUGGUGGUAGUGAAGAAGAAAGAACAAUUGGCUAUGAAAUGUCGACACUCAUUGUAAAAUGUGUUCCCAUACCAGAUACGUUAGCAGUGAUGUUAGAAAUAGGAACCUCCUCGGUAAUUGAUUUGGUAAUCACUACUUCGAGUGGAAUGGUUGAAGUAGGAGAAACAUGUGAAACAUGCAACACCCAGGAAAUGAUAGGUAAAGAAGUUACCAUAGGAGAUGUUGAAACAACCGGAGUAUUAGGAACAACUUCAUUAUCAGAAGAAUCAUCUCUGAUGAUAUGCUUUCGUUUGUACUGUUUUUCUGUGAUGUGCUUUGCAACAUCAUGUGCACGCCUCUUCUAGGAUAAUGGUGAAACAGGAGCAAGAAUUUCAUAAACUACUACUCCUUUGUUGCUAAGCUGAGUCUUACGAACCAUCGGUGUAACACCAAAAAUUUCAAAACAAUUUUUCAUUUAAAAAUAAUCGUUUAAUUCUUAAAAAAACUUUGAUUAAAAUCUCAUUCAUAAUCGAAUUACAAAACAUAACUCCAUUUUCACUUGCAUAAUGAACCAGGAUCCUCAAAACAUGACUCUUUCUCUGGUGUGUACAAUCGAGCCGGUGUUGUCCCGUGAUCCUGAGAGAAACCUGAAACACAUAACACAAAACACUAUAAGCACGAAGCUUAGUGAGUUCCCCAAAAUACCACACAUAACACAUAUUAGCCACUCGAGGCUAUAACUCUGUGGGUCCGUGGACCCUACUCUGUGAACCUUCCGGUUCUAACUUUAUGAACCUUCCGGUUCUAACUCUGGGAACCUUUCGGUUCUAACUCUGUAAAUAUGCACAACAUAAAUCGCAUAGAAAUAAUGCAGUACAACACAUAACAUACAUAGCAUACAAAUACUCUGUCACAUAACUCUGGUUACGUACUCAAGGUAAAGUAUAGUGAGAAGACUCACGUGGCAAUCAGAAAACAAUUAUCUGCACAUGCGAACCUCGGGCUCGCCAUUGCCUAACACAUAAGGCAAAUAUCUCUAAUUAAUACUCGCAGUCCCAACUCUAAUUAACCGGCGAUUACUCUUUCACUCUCUAGUCAGGUAAUGGGUAAAAGACCAUUUUACCCCUCCCUGACCUCUAUUACCUCUGUUGACCAAAACUCCUAAAGUCAACAUAAGACAACUCAAGUCAACGGUCAACACUGACCAGACUCAGCGAGUACACAAGAGUGAGUCGGCGAGUCCCCGCGGGUUCUCUAAACUCUUUUUAAACCUCUUAGACAUGACGAGUUCCCUCUCUACUCAUCGAGUUACUCGGCAACGAAACGCAGGGCAACCCCGAUUCGACUCGUCGAGUCUGCCCAUGGACUCGGCGAGUUGCUCCCAUGACAAUCCUCAUCUGACCUUCUAAGGUCAGACCUGCUUCACCAAACCAUAGAUCUAACUCCCUCAAAGCCAAUAACCACGAAAAGGUCGAACCUUGGGCACUCAUGCAAGGUUCUACAAGCUCAUUUGGGUGAAACCCUCUAUUACAUAACAACCCUAGCUCAAAACUCCAAAUAGAAUGCAUAAAGCAGGAUGGAAGGGACUCUCUGGACCUCUUUGGGUCCAGAUCUAUGACUUCACACUCAAUGGGACACUAUACUCCACAAAUCAAGCCAUAAAAGAAGCUAGAAAACUCUAAAAUCACCAAUAUUACCCAAAACAGAAAAGCGAGAACGAUUUGAUACCUCAAUGGUGAAGAUACAAGCUCAGAAGCUCCGAAUCAACACCCCCCCUUGACCUCCCUUUGUUGGAAAUGACUACAAAAUAGCUCUUCUUCAUUCUCUCAGCUCUCUGGUUCAAUAGGAGUCUCUCAAAGGUGUAGGUGGCCGCCACUGAAGGCCAUAAGGGCCUUUAAAUAGGUCGCAAACCCGGACAAUUAGGGUUUUCCUUGACAGCGCCGACUCGGCGAGUCCAAAUACCCGUCGUCGAGUCCCUUCAUUAAACUGGUCCCCAAAACGCAAUCCUACUCGACGAGCUGAGGCGUCAACUCACCGAGUCUCCUCAUUCCUUAAUAUAAAAUACUCAAAUUCCCAUACCUGGAUAUCCGGAUGUUACAAUCGGUGAAUCAUCAGACGAAUUUUCUUUAGAUGAUAUCCUAUGAAUUCGUUUAAGAAUUCUAGAUUUUGAUGGAGCAACUUCUUUCGAAGGCUGAUUAUCACCCUCAACAUUCUUUGUAUCACGUCCUUCAAUGUUCUUAGGUGAGGAUUUUGACUUUGCAGUUUUCCCAUGAUUCCCAUCAGACUUCGUUUUCUUACAUGGCUUGGAAGAACCAGUUUCGGUUUCAAGUAACAACCCAGUUUCGACAUUAGGGUCUACCGUCUGCAAAUACUUAACAAGAAUCUUGUGUGUUGAAUUCACCUUCUUUAGCAUUGCAUCUGGAAUUCGUGCUACACUAGUAAAAAUGUGCUCAUCAUCUUUAGUAUUCUUUGGAAACUGAUACUUCAUAAAUUCAGCAAUUUCUUCUCUCUGAGGAACUUGAAUUCCUUCUUUCUCAUACACCUUCUCCAAAAUCAGACUCCAGUAUCUAGCACAAGAAAUUCACUUAGCUACACUUGUGUUUGCCAAACUUUUCGUAAAUUCGUUCCACAACUGAGUGGCAUAAUCUACACUCAAGUCGUAAUGCAAACCCAUGACCAUAGCAUAAACUUCUUCUCUUCCUUUGUCAAGACCCACUUUUCUUCCUGUUAAGCACCGUAGAAAAAUCCCAAAUAAGAAAUUCCAUAUAUAGGGAAGCCCAGACUUUUUGAAGUCACUAAUCUUUUCGAGUGGUUGCUGAUGACCCAUCUCAUUGAACAUAUGCAUAAUCUGAGGGUUAGAUGGUUUGAAAAAGGGUGGUGUAUUGGGUAACUCUAAGAACUGUGAGAACAUCUUCUUGGGAAGACAAAUUCAUUUUUCAUUCACUAAAUUGAAUGUGAUAAUAUAUGUUCCUUUGUUGAAUGAAGCAGUAGAUGCAGCUAUAGACAACCAAGUUAAUGGCACGACAAAGGAUUUGAACAUUGCGGUGGCUAGAACUGAUCUUUUUAAUACAACAAUCAGCAUCUUGAGAUCAUCUGGAUAGAACGAGAAAUUUGAUUCAACUGGAUAGUUGUUGCUUUGAAUCUUCAUCAAAGGUUGGGACACAAUCUCUUCAGUAGUAGAAUUCUGAACAGCAGCCAUUUGCAAAUUGAUUGAAAGCUUUCUGGUAAAAUUAGGGCUUUUCGUUUUCUUUGUGUUCUUAAACGCGUGAUUUCAAAAGGAAAGAAUAUUUUCCUUUUAUAAGUAACCAAAAAUAAUUUGAACUGUUUGUCAUUAAUAAGAAGAUCACAUCAUCCCUUGAAACGAGCACUAGUAGCCGUUCUUGUAGCUAUGUUAGAUAAAGUUCCUUGAAACUAGGGCCAAGUUAUCAAACGGUUACCUUGAGACUGAUCGUGAGUACUUGUGGAUAAGAUCAAACGUUUCGUAUUUGAGGUUGGGCUCAUUCGUUUUUGGGAUUCGAAAUGAAGUCAUUUUCCAGUCUUGUGAAAUCAUCAUCCUAAGUUGGUAUUACUUAGAACCUCAAGGAUUUCGUGAGUGCAGUGAUUCAAAGGAAAAGGAUAAGAAGCAAAAAAGAAAUUUGGAUCUGUGACGUCAAAAAUGUUGACACGAAAGCAGUUAAAUCCCAGGCAACGGUUGCUUCAUUAAUUAUCAAGAGACAUAACUAACAGCUUUUCCAUUUUCCCAUGAAUUACAAUCGAAUAAUUUUAAAGAAGUAUCAAAGGGCUUCUUUUUCUAGACUUAAAUGGGUGGCUUACGAAUUUCGUUACAUAUCGUCCUAAACAUAAGGUGAGUAAUUGUAAACGAAAUUACUUGUUUGACCAGUGUAGUUAGUGACAAGUUGCUUUGUCAAAUUGUGAAAGUGACUAAGAAAAAUAAUUGAUACUCCCGCUGAAAUCACAUUCAAGAAAAAUUAUUUGGCUGGAUUUUAUUGGGUAACAAAUGUCAUGGGUUUCGAACAUUUGAUUAAAACAACUCAUACGAAAGAAUGUGAUUUGGAUUAUACGAAACUUUGGUACAGUCACAAGUGUUUCGUAAGAAUCUGGAACAUAGUUCCCCGUCAAUUCCUUAUUAAGUUCGGAUAUUUGGGUUUCACUUGCAUCACGGUCUCAUGAUUUAAGAUCAUUAACACAGAUUUUUGACAUGUUUAAGUCACAAUUGGUUUGAUCAAUGACCUCUUGAACAUGUGUCUUUAUGUUUGAAAUGUGUUAAGAAAUUUUGUGAUGAAAAAGAUUGGUUAAGAUUUGAAUGUACCUCUUUUAUUUAUGGACCAAACAGACAACUCUUAACUCAUUUGAGAAGAGUAAGGUAGCUCUUUUGACUAAUGCGAAUGUACGCCUAAUUUGGAAGAAACUUUCGUAUGAAAUAUUUCAUUUAGGCUUUCGUAACACACAUAGAGUCAGUUGAGGCUUGAGUCGACAUGCAGCAGUAUGCUUCUAAGGACAGCUUAACUAGUAUAAAUAUUUAAUUGAAUUACCUUUCCAUAGAAACACAAGCAUGACCCUUUGAAGAAUUGACUUGAAAAUGUUCUUGAAUAUCCUAAAAAAAAUAACCAAAAAUCUUUUUGAAUUUUUCAUUUUUGAACAAAAACAAACAAAAACAAAAAAAUAAAAUAAAACAUGAAACAUUUGAUAUUUUUGAUUUUUUGAAAAUGAAUACAAAGAAAUAAAAAUAUUUUUGAUUUUUCAGUUUUUCAAUGAAUAAAUUUUAAACUAAUGAAAAGAAAUGAUAGAACAAAGCAUGCAAAACUUUAUACUAUCAAAAUACAAAAACGAAGCGUGUCAAAGCCUCUUAACGCAUAGUAACCUCUGAAUGGUUCAAUCAACAAGCCUUUGAAUCGACACCUCUUUCAUCAUCAACAUUUCGUUAAUUUUGAAUAUUUGAAACUAGAACUAAAUUCGCAUCUAACAUUCCCAAACCUGCUAAAAUUCUCACGAAAGAUUUUUCAUCAAGUGGUUUACUGAAAAUACCAGUAAGUUUAUUAGUAGUUUUCACAAAAUGAACUUCAAUAUUAUCAUCUUCCACAUGAUCUUUUAUAAAAUGAUAAUGAAGAGCAAUAUGUUUCGUUUUUGAAUGUUGUACUGGAUUAUGACAAAUGCGAAUAGCAUUUUGCGGAUCACAAUACAAAGCAAUCUUUUUCAUAUUAAUUGCAUAAUCACGCAAUUGGCUUUGAAUCCAAAUGAUUUGAGAAGUGCAAGCAGCAACAGAAAUGUAUUCAGCUUCAGCAGUAGAAAUUGCUACACAAGUUUGUUUCUUCGACUGCCAACUUACCAACUUCCCACCAGUAAUUGACAUCCUCCACUUGUACUUUUUCUAUCAAGAGUACAUCCACCAAGGUCUGAAUCCGAAAAGGCUUGAAUGAAAAAUCCAGAUUUCGAAGGAUACCACAAUCCCAAUGAAACUGUUCCUUUAAGAUAACGAAAAAUAUUCUUCACAGCUGUUAAAUGUGAUUCUCUUGGAUUUUCUUGAUACCUUGCACAAUUGCACACUGAAAACAUGAUAUCAGGUCUACUUGCAGUUAAAUAAAGUAGAGAACCAAUCAUGCUUCGAAACAAGGUAAGAUCAACAGUAGGUGUUUCUAACGAAGGUGUUAACUUCGUUCCAACAACCAUUGGCACACGUAACUUCGUGUUGUUAGUCAUACCAAACUUUUCAAUCAAAUUAUUUGUGUAUUUUUCUUGGUUGAUGAAAAUUCCUUCUCUGCUUUGACAUAUAUUUAACCCAAGAAAAUUGUUAAUUUUACCCAUCAUGCUCAUUUCGAAUUUACUCUUCAUCAAAUUUUCAAAUUCACUAGAUAAAUUUGGGUUAGUAGAGCCAAAAAUAAUAUCGUCAACGUAAAUUUGAACAAGCAUUAGAUGAUCACCAACUUUCUUACGAAAUAAUGUGGGAUCAACUGAUCCUUGUUUAAAUUUUUAUUGAUUUAAGAAAUUGGUAAGAGUUGCAUACUAUGCUCUUGGUCCUUGUUUUAACCCAUACACAGCCUUACCUAAAAUGUAAACAUGAUUAGGAUAUUCUUCAUUAACAAAACCUGGUGGUCGUUCAACAUACACUGUUUCUUCUAGCUCUCCAUUCAAGAAUGCACAUUUGACAUCCAUUUGAUAGACAUCAACGUCUUUAUGUGCAACAUAGGCUAAAAAUAUUCGAACAACCGCGAAUCUUGCGACAGGAGCAAAGGUUUCUUUGUAGUCGAUACCUUAUUGUUGCGAAUAACCUUUAACUACAAGCCUAGCUUUAUUUCGAAUAAUAUUGCCCUCUUUGUCGGUUUUAUUUUUAAAAAUCCAUUUCAGCCCGACAAUCGAAAUAUCAUUAGGUUUUGGAACAAGUCUCCAAACCUUGUUUCUUUCGAAUUCAACAAGUUCAAAUUGCAUAGCAACAACCCAAUCUGAGUGUUCCACACAAACCUUUACUAUUUUGGCUCUAUUUUUGAAAUAAAAACAUUAAACAUGCAAAAUUCAUGAUUCGCCUUUAAUACCUCAUUUUUCGCACAAAUUUGAGCUCUUGUUAAAACUCCAUCUUGUGGAUUUCCUAUAACUUUCUCUUUUGGAUGAUUCUUUAUCCAUUUCUCAAGUGGUGGAUAUGUAGGAUCAAAUUCCAAUGGUGCAUCUUCGUACAGUUCUUCGUUUUCAGUACCUGCCACAUAAAUAUUAUCAUCAAAUUCAUGAAACUCAUCAUUUUGAUUAGUAUUAUUCGUAUUUGUAUCAUUUUCCUCCCCCUCAACAUGAUUAUCUUUUUGAUGCUCCCCAUCAAUUUCGUGAUUUAUACUACUCUUCUACCCCUCGAAAGGAUGCUCCCCCUCAACAUUUAGAGGAAUAGACGUAUGCUACCCGUCCAUACGAACAUCUGGCAUACUUUCACUGGUUUUAGUAGUAUCCAAAGUUAUUGUUGAUUUAUCAGUAUAUUUUGAUGAUUCGGGUGUUUGGUUGUCAUCAGCAUGAACUUCAGCAUCAAUUGCCCUAUCUGGAAUACCAAAAAUCAGAUCAUAAUCAAAAUCAAUUGAAUUAUCAAUCUCAAUUUGAAUGUUUGAUUCAGCAAUAAUUGGUUUUUGUUCCAACUUUCGUGCUACUUGUUUAACAAAGUAAUCAUGAAAGGUAAGAUUAAAAGUUUCUUCAACUUUGUGGGUUCGUUUGUUCAACACUCGAUAUGCAACUGAAGUAUGCGAAUAUCCCAAAAAUAUGCCUUCAUUAGCUUUAGUUGCAAACUUGGAAAGAUUGUCUUUAAGAUUCAUGACGAAAAAUCUGCAACAAAAAUCAUGGAAAAAUUUGACAUUAGGUUUCUGUUUAGUUAUUAUUUCAUAAGGAGUGGUAUUAAAUCUUUUAUGAAUAAAAAAACGAUUCUGAGUGAAACUGCUUCGGCCCAAAGAUACUGAAGAAGAUUCGCAUAUGUCAACAUUGUUCUCGCUGCCUCGCAUAAUGAUUUGUUUCUCCUUUCAACAACACCAUUUUGUUGUGGUGUAUAUGGUGAUGAGAAAUUAUGCGAAAUUCCUUUUUCAUUUAAAAACAAAUCCAGCAUCUUGUUCUUAAACUCAGACUCAUUAUCACUCUUUAUUCUAUGAACAUUCGUUUUCAGACUCAUCUCUAUCUUCUUGACAAAAUCAAUCAUUGUUUGAACUACUUCAGAUUUUAACUUGAGAAAAAAUACCCAUGUGAAACGUGAAAAACCAAAAUGUACCAUUUCUUGUUAAUUGUUUCAACAGUCGAAGGUCCACAAAGUUCAAUAUGAAGAAGUUUCAAUGGUUCAACAAUUUUUGAGUCUAUCACGAUAGGAUGUCCUUUGCGAUGUUGUUUUCCUUGUUCGCAUGUUGCACAAAGAGUAUUAUUGUCAAAUUUUAACACAGGAAGUCCACGAACUAAAUCUUCUGUAACCAGCUUGUUUAGAUUUCGAAAGUUUAAAUGAUAUAAACGUCUAUUCCAUAACCAACUGACAUCAAUUGAAGCUUUCGAAAGUAAACAAACUGAUUGUUUGCCCACUAUUGGGUUAAUAUCCAGGGUGAACAUAUCGCCAUAUCAUUUCGAUUUUGGCAGUAUUUCAUUUGUCUCUACUUUUGAUAUUAUGCUCCCUUCUUCAUUAAACACCACUUGAUUUCCACUGCCCACAACUAAUUGUGAAACACUAAUCAAGUUAUGUUGAAGACCUUCCACAUAUGCCACUCAAUUUACUGUGAAUUGCCCAUUCGUAACUUUGUCAUAUCCUUUCACUUGAUAUUUUUGAUUAUUUCCAAACUUCACUACUCCAACAUUUUCAAUGCUUCGAAAAUCUCUUAAGUUCUCCUUCCUUCCAGUCAUGUGACGUGAGCAACCACUAUCAAUAUACCACUUCAUAUCAUAUUGCUUGUCACAAAGUACCUGCAUUUAAUUAAAGAAUUUAGGAACCCAAGGCUUUUUAGGUCCUUGCUUAUUAGUUUGAAACAAGGAGUGAAUUUUAGAACUAAAAGCUCAAUUAAAUCAACAUCACUAUCCAAAGAUAUUGAAAUAAAAUUUUUCGAUAGUUUCGGAUUAUCAUUAGAUUGCACCUCAGGCUUCUCAUUUCUUUUAAAUUUGUUGACUGGUUCCCAUAUUUGUAUCAGAAUUUCUGAAUCUUGAGAAUAUAAACUUCUAAUAGCUGACUCAUUCAAAUACUUUUCAUAAGCAGUUUUGAUUUGAGCUUGAGAAUGCCUCCCAAACUAAAACCUUUUGCCAUGUCCUUCAAGCCAAUUAUUGAUAGAAUGAAUUUCUGAUUUUUCAUUUGAACACGAAACUCUUGUUGGAUUUGUGAUUGAAGGAUUUGGAAAAUUUGGUUUUUGUCGAGUGAAUUUAACUUUUGGUUUGAAAGUUUUGUUUGAAACUUGUUGACUAUUUGUUGAUUUUCGAACACUGUUAAGUUUUUAAUCAUUCACAACUUGUUGUGAUUUCUCAUACUUUCUAAUGUUGUCAAAUUUUCAAAUAUGUUUAACCUUAUGCUUUAUUGGAAAUUUGUCUAUUACAUUCAUUGGAUGAUGAAAAGACGUGUCUUUUUGUUUUUCUGUGACAUUUGAUUUUUGAGAACUCUUAGUAUUUGAAAAUUUUGAAAUUUUAGAUUUUGAAACACUGACUGUCUCAUUUGAAACUGUGGAUUUAGUCAGAGCGGGUUUUUCAUUAGAUACUACUUUCCAAAAAAUUACUUUUCGUGCCUUUCUUUUUGAAACUUUGUGUUCUUUUGAAAAGUUGUUAACAAGCACCUUGAAUUCAUUUGAAUUAAGUUUCACAAUUGGAGUUGAAUAAACAACUUAUUUUGUAACAACAUCGUUUUCUUUUUUGUUUUAACAACCCAUUUUUGUUUUAAGUUUUGUUUUUGAAAAACAUAUGAAUUCUUAGUGAGAUUGUUUUCAAUUGUGUUUUGAUUUGAAAAGAAUCCUUCAUCAAUUAAACGCUUAUUGUCUUCUUCGACCAUUUUGUUGAAUUCAGGCUUGACAUUCUCAACAUUACCAGUUGUGACAGAUACUUGAUUUGGAAAAACUACAUCAUCUGUGCAUGUAAAAUUCGGAUACACGACAUUAUGAGUUUCCAAGUAAUGAGCACCUUUUUCAUUCAUCACCUUGUCAAAGUUUUCAGUUUCCCCAUAAACUUGUUCAAUUAAAACUCUUGGAAUUGAAGUUUCAAUUGAAACUUUCUUUUUUGUUUCAGGAACAUUCGAAGCUUUAAUUUCAUCUUCCUCAUCAUCACUACUAUCUGUCUGACUAUCUCAAACUUCCACAUCAUCAAAGUCAAAAGAUUUCGAAGUAGAGGGUUUUCCAAUGUCAUCCUUAACCUUUAAAUCAUUUACAAUUUCUUUACCUUUGGCCUUAGAUGUGAUGUUAAUGGUAGAAAACUAAGAACAAUCAAUACUUUCUUCUUCUUCAAUUUCACUGAUUUCACUAUGAUUAUCCGAAUUCUCAUUGACAUCAGCAAAAUUAAGUUGUGAAUCAAGUUUCGAAUGUUCAGUUAUUUUAAAAUUUUUGACUUGUUCAUCUUUUGUUAAACUUUCAUUAACAACAUUAAAUAAUUCAUCAGCAUUUAAAACCUCAUCUAUCUUAACAACACCAUAUGCUAACUUAUCGUCUGGCACUUUGUUAAAAUCAGCUAAUGUGUUUUCACAAUCAUAUGACAUUACAUCAACUUUUUCUCUUUCGAAUGCAAGAAAAGGCAAUAGUUUUUUAUGUUUUUCUUUUCUAAUUUCAGACGAAUGAUGUAAGGAAAUUAAUUUGGCAUACAAAUUUUGCAGAAUUACAAUAGAUGUUACGUUGGGCUAACAACAUUCGUACAUGUUUAUCUAGAUUCUCUCUAUCAUGAUUGACAUUUCCUAAUUGCAACUCUAGAUACUGUAACAGCCCGAAAUCCAGGUACCCUUUUAUUUAGCCCUUCAUCUUUAAUUGUUGUCAUUUUAGGGCCUUUGUGUUGGGCGAGUACGCUGGGCGUACAAGGAGUACGCCGCGCGUACUCGUGCGCCUCGUUUGGACGCGUUGUCCCUCAGGUACGCUGGGCGUACCCAAGGUUACGCAGGGCGUAAUCGGUCCAGACCCAAAACCUUAAUUCGUGUUGUUAGCUAUAAAAGGAAUGAGAUGGCUUGGCUCCUCAGCCACCAUCCCUCAGAAAGAAACCCUAAGAGAGUGCUCCUUCGUUCCUAGUCCUUUUGUGAGUGUUCUAAGCUUGGUGGUGCCAUUUCAAGGUAGCAAAGGAGAAGAAGAGUCCAUUGUGAGGGCUAGAAGUUCGUGUUCAAGUGUAGAUCCGGGCUUAGCAAUGGUUGGAGCUUCUUUCUAAGGUAAAAAGUUCGGAUCUUGACUUAUAGAUCUUGUGGUAUGCUUUAUGGACCAUUUUCUAGGGUUUUGUCCCAAUGGUGGAGACUUUAUGAGCAAGUGGUCUCCAUUAGCUUAGAUCCAUCAUAUUUCUGGUCCUUUUGAGUUGUAGAUCCAUAAAAAUGUAAUCUUGGACGUGAAUGAUUAGCCAUGCAUGAGAUCUAGAUCCUUGAGUUGAUAUGGAAAGGCGUUAAGGAGUGUAAGGACCUUUACAGCCAUGCUAAGGCUUAAAGGUUCCGACUUUAUGAGUAAGGUUGCUUAAAUAAGGCCGGAUCUAGAAGUUGUAGUAGUGGCUUAACCGAUUAAGACCAGAUAUGAAGUGUGUCUAGAUCUGACUAUUACGCUGGGCGUAACUCCCAAUACGCGCAGCAUACUGGGUGGAGACCCCGAUUAUUGAGUUGGCGAUGUACGCCCCGCGUACAUCAGUCUGUACGCCUCGCGUACUGGAGAUGUUGACUUUUGUUGACUUUUAGGGUUUUGGUCAACAUGUGGAAUUUGAGUCAAGAAAGGGUAAAAUGGUCUUUUACCCUCUGAGGAAUGNAAGGGGUAAAGUCUAGUGGUGGAAGUUUAUAUUAAUUAAAAUGAUAUUCGUUAUGAUUAGGCGAGGUUGAGUCUUCGUUUGGGGAUUCGGAGAUAGCGAGCACGUGAGAUUCUAGACUUUCCACGAGGUGAGUAUUCUCACUAUACUGUACCCGGAAGGGUUUUAUUGUGUGACCGGAAGGUCGGAUGUGUUAUGAGUUAUAUGGAUUGUAUGUGAUAAGUUAAUUGUUUAUAUGUGUCAUGUAUGAUAUGCUUAAUAUGGGCCGGAAGGCGUAUAUGUUAUGGGCCGGAAGGCGUUGUGAUGUGAACCGUAAGGUUGACGUAGGUAGGACCGGAAGGUUUACCUAGGUGGGACGGAAGUCCCCUAAGACACAUUGUCACAACUGGAAAUUUUGUGUCAUGUAAUCUAUACAUUCAAGCUAAUGUGAAUCAAAAACUUAAGAACAUGAUUGACACCUACUAUUAUGACAUCAAGAACUUCAAUCAAAUACAUCAUACAAGUACUACAAAUAGUCAUCAAACAAUUGGAGACCCUAGAAGUCCUUGUUUAAGUCCAUUUUGGACUAGGACUCCCUUAUUGGAUCCAAAUGGACCAAUAAGCUUCCAAUUAGACUAUCAUGGGCUUAGAACCCUAAUUGGGCUCUAAUUGAACCCACACUAAUUUAUUUCAACAUUUUGGGCCAUGUUGGGCCUAGAAUGAAAUGAAUUAAAAGCUUUGAUCCAUGAAUACCCUAAACUAGUCCAACAAAAAUGGAAAAAUCAUACUACAUUCUUUUAGGUAUAAAACACACCCUAACUAACUCUAAUUUUGGGCUUAAGGGAAAAAGCCCAAAUUUUUCUUUUUCCCUUCCAAACUCUCGGCCCAAGGCCCAAACCCAAGGAAAGAUGAAGAGUUGACUUUGCCAUUGCCACCUCAUUUUUAUCUCUUGGAUAUCCAUGCAACAUAUCACAUAUACCCAUGCAUACAUCAUCUCAAAGAUCACUUCUUCCUUCCUCUCUCUCACUCUCGGCCACAUGCAAACACACACACACCACAAAAAUCUCUUCCAAACUCUCUAAGUCUUGAAGAACAAUCCUCCCUCCUUCUUCAAAAUUUUCGUGAAUCUAAGAAGCUUUCAAGAGGAUCUUGCAAGUUAAUCAUCAUCUUAGGUAAGUUUUUACUUAUAUCCAUGAUCUAGCUACUUCAUUCCAUCAAAAACCUCUUCUAAAUCUAUUCCAACUUGUGAUCAUGCACCUUAGAAGUCACCAAACUCGAGAUCUACCAAGGAAAGGUGCUAAGGCCGAAAAUCACUUCAUUUUUCUUCCAUCUUUUCUUCAAAACCGAAACCACACCCAAGGUGAGCUUCAUACCCCCUAUUUUCUGUUUUUAUGAGUUUUGUGGGGGGGAAUACAAGUGAAAGUGUAGAUCUAUAUGUGUUUUGUAUGCUUUGUAUGGUUUCCAUGCUUAUAUGUGUGCUUUUGUGUGUUAUAAUGUGGGAUUUAGCCAUAAAACCCCUCAAAACCGAGAUAUACCUUAUGUUAAAUGAUUUUAGCAUCAAAUAUAUUUCUACAUACAAAGUGUUUCUAGAAAAAUAGCUAAAUGGCUUAGUAACAAUUUCUUUGGGCUAAAAACACAAUUUUUGGACCUAAAAUGUGAAAAAUACAAAGUUAAGGGCCCAAAUUGACAUAUCACGAAUUCUGAUGGAUGAGGUGUGUUAAAACAGUUUCAAUAAAACAAUUUCUGGAAAUAUACUCAUUUGGAGGAUUAAAAACAUAAAUUUCAAGCUUAAUGGGCUAAAAAUGACAUUUUCGGCCCAAUGAGGCCCAUUAUGCGAGAUUUUCUGUUUUGGAGGGCCAAAACUGUGUUUUUCUGUAAAACAGUGGACUAUAAGUGUUCCAAGUCCUUUUCAAAGGUUUAAAAUGCUUUUUAAAUUUAAAAAGGACCAAAGUUGCAAAAAUUUUACAAUUUGGGCCAAAAUUGUCAAAGUUGCGAAAAAGAAGGGUUAUAACCGAGAAAACUGAAAUUUCAGGGACUUAAACUGUUUUCAUUGAAAAAUAUGCUGAAAAAUAUCAAUUUCAAUAAUUUUUGGUGUUAAAAUGUCAAGAAAAUUGAUUUAAGGACCAAACCGGAAAGUAUUUAAUUAAAGGGUUGAAAAAGUAAAUUUUACAAACAAUGAGGGGCUGAAAACAGAAAACUUUCAAGGCUAAUUCAAUACAUGCAAUUUGAUCAAAUAAUGGCACCGCGACUAUCGACGAAAUACAAUACACUACAAUACCAAAAGUCGUUGUUAAACGAAUUGGUUCGGUCUCGAACCAAUAAAAAUCCGAAACUACUAACACGACGACACUACGACACUACGACACUACGACACUACGAUUCAUACAAGUAACGUUUGGGAAUUCAAUAUACAUGCGAGUGUGCACAGACGUCUACGCACCAUCUUUGGGCCCCAAAAGUGUAAAAUCUUGUUUGUUGGGCCUAGCUAGCCCAAUGACCUGAUCUUAAGGCCCGAAGACCUCUAUCUUACGAAGUGUUGGGUUUUACCGAUCUAACACAACGUAAAAGGACUUUCAAUGGCUUGUAUACUACUGGUCCCCAAGGGUCCUUUGGUAUUGCUAGUAAAGUCUACAUUUCAUGCGAGGCGGGUCUGGGACCCCUCGUACAUUUUUUUAUCCCCAACCGGUUAAUGGAGUCAUCGAGGUCUUCGUGCCCUCUUUCUCUUCGGAUGUGGGACUACACAUAGUCAGGGCGGUUGGAUAACGUGAUUAGUACGGACGACGCCUACGGGAUCGUUAGUAUAGCUAUAAACUGGUCGUUUGUGUAAUGCGUGUUUGUAGCAAUUAAUCAUGCUCAAAAAUAAUCCAACGUCGCCUGGGACUGACACUACACGCUAUGCAAUGGUUUCAAUGUAACUUCAUGGAAUUCAAGGAAUUAGGAAAACAUCGGGUUUUCCUAGGGUUUUUCAAUACAUACAGAUUCGAAAUGCAUACAACUUUAAUGAACAAUUUUUACAAGUAUAGAAACAAACAAGCAUACCUAUGGAUCUUCACAAACGUUUUCAAAAGCAUUUCUUUUCAGAAAAUAUCGGAUUUUCUGGUGGUUUUCAAACGAUACGAAACAUUGUUUUUUUUCAAAUACCGCUUAUGAACUCACCAACAUUUCACAUGUUGACGUUUUUCAAAAUACUUGUAUUCUCAGGGAACCAGUGAAUCAAAGGAAAUCAUAUUCAGUGAUGGCUUGCAGUUUAUUUAUGUACGAAUCGAACAAUUUAUUUUUGGGAAUGUAAUGUUUAAACAAUGUGCUUCAUGUAAACUCUACUGGUUGUACUAUAUUAAUGCAUGGUGACGAAUGUUGUUACGUUUCAUAUAUAUUCAAUGUUAUGGUAUUCAAUUGAGUCACGACAGCCCCCGAACGUUUCCGCCGCCUGGUUCGGGGGUGUGACACGUUGGUAUCAGAGCUUUGUUUAUAGUGAACUAGCAUGUCGAGCCACACAUUGAUAUGCAACUAUAAACCAAAAAGAGGGACUAACAUAACUCUGAACAAAACAAGUAAANAGGUCAGGGCCUGGAAAGGCGUACGUGCGUAAGUUGUAUUUUGGGGAACUCACUAAGCAAUUAUGCUUACAGUUGUUGUGUUAUUUGUUCCAGGUACUAGUGAGGACCGUGGGAAGGCGCCGGCGUGAUCUGUACACACUGAUGGAGGAUUUAUGAUCUUGGGAUUUAUAUGAUUUGCAUUAUGAUAUGACACAUUGGAUCUUUAAGACUUAUUUUGGAUGGAAACAUGUUUUAAUAAAUGAAAAUUUUGUUUUAAAAAUUUUCGUUAUUACAAGUUGGUAUCAGAGCCUUGGUUUGAGGGAUUUUGGUGCACCUUUGGGCGUAACUGAACUCAAACCGAGGAUUUGAGGAAAUUUUUCAAAAAUAAAAGCAUAAAAUUUUAUAAAGGAUUUUGUAAUAACCAAGGAUGAAGCAGUGCGUACGUCAGCCAGCGCCCGAACGGUAAAAAUCCCCGAAAUACCCUUGCAAUAUGUGCUAUGAGAUAUGUUAUGAUAUGUUAUGCAUGCUAGAUUAGACUAGGUAUUCAUAUUAGGACUAGAGUGGCCUGAUUUGUGAUGCCUUAGUCUAAGGGAAAAUUUGCUGCUAUGAGAUGCUUUGAGAGCGAGUAGGUAAUCAGUGCAUAGCAAGAAUAGAGUACUCGUGAUCCAGGGUCCAAGGAGGAGGACUUGAGGUGAACGCUGAUGCGGUGUAAUCAGUAGUGUAGGGCCCGUACUACUAAAAACACUGGAUCAGUGGGCAAUCCAAGUAAGAAUCCUUUGGGUAUCGGAGGUCGAGUAGGGUUGCGUUAUCGAGUGCGAGUAUGCUCGAUUAGGUCUCUGAUAUUUUUAUGUUGUAUUUCAGAGGCAUCAUGGUUGGGAUACGCCACAGACCAGAGAUGAGCGGUGUGAGUGACGAGGAGAUUCAACAGAUGAUCCACGUUGAGGUGGCUACGGCAAUCCGGGCCGUGAUUCCGGAGAUGUUUGGGUCUAUCAAGACCACGUUGUUGGAGACUUUUGAUGAGCGGUACGUCAUGGUGACCGAUGCUGCGGCCGCUGCAGCUACAACAGCUAUGGCUGCUGCCAGACCUCAGGGAGGUGACUCGUUACUCUUCCGGGAGUUCAGCAACACGAAGCCACCCGAGUUUGACGGGACGCAGGAUCCGAUCGCUGCGAUGAGAUGGAUUGCUGAUAUUGAGGGAUGCUUCUACACUUGUUCAUGUCCGGAGCAUCUAAGGGUACGGUUCGCUUUGAAUCAGCUCCGCCUGGGAGCCAAGGAUUGGUGGAAGUUCGUGAUGGUGAACUUCACUCUUGCGGAGAUUUCAGCCGUGACUUGGGAGAUAUUUACUUCUAUGUUCAGAGACGAGUAUGUUCCCCCGGUGGAGAGGGAACGGUUGGUUCAGGAGUUCUUAACCCUCAAGCAGGGUAAUGAUUCGGUUACGGUGAUCACUCGGAAAUUUCAUGAGCGGGCGAUGUUUUGCCCUGAACAGGUUUCCACUGAGCAGGCUCGGAUGAGCCGAUAUUUGGGUGUACUGAGGAGGGACAUUCGGGAGUUCGUUUUGAACUCGACAUAGCGGACAUUUGCUGAGCUCCAGGCAAAUGCCCGGAAGAGGGAGAUCGNNNNNNNNNNNNNNNNNNNNNNNNNNNNNNNNNNNNNNNNNNNNNCCCAGCCGGCAGCCAAGCGGACCAAGUCCGCCGAUUCGAGGACGGGAGGUCAGAAGGGCCGCACUUGCGGAUAGUGCGGCAAGGGUCACGAGGGGGCAUGUCGAUCAGGUGCUUACUACAAGUGUGGCAAGGAGGGACAUAUUGCUAGGGAUUUCCCCAAGGGGUUUAUGGUUUGCUUCCAUUGCAACCAGACCGGCCAUCGGAAGGCUGAGUGUCCUCAACUCCUCCAGGGAUCUGCACCUGUUGCUAGGGCUACUGAGACUCGACCAGUGAAGGCCGAGGCCCCGAGGGCUCGUGGGAGAGCUUUUCAGUUGACCGCGGAGGAGGUCCGCGCGGCGCCUGAUGUCGUGGCUGGUAUGUAUUCUUUCGUGUAUUUAUUUAUUUUUAUGUUGAGAUGUUGUGCUUAUUUUAUGAUAUGCGUAGGUACUUUUCUUGUGAAUUAUGUACUUGCUUUGGUAUUAUUUGACUCGGGUGCGAGUCGGUCUUUCGUAUCUCUGGCUUUUAGUCAGCACCUCGGUAUUGAUCGAGAAGUGAUGAGUCGACCUCUGAGGGUUUCCAUAGCUGAUGAGAAAGCGAUAUAUGCCACAGACAUGAUUCGAGGAUGUGUUCUCGAGAUGUUUUGGUGUCAAUUUCCCUAUAGACCUAGUUCCUAUCGCCAUGGGAGAUGUUUGUGUCAUCGUGGGCAUGGACUGGUUGAGCAGGUUUGGAGUGGUCAUUGACUGCGGGAAAUAGCUGGUGACUAUGCGAGACCCUAGUGGGGGAGUGCUUAUUGUGUAUGGCGAGGGGACCCGGUGUGGGUCAGCAUUCUGUUCGGCUGCCAGGGCGAGGCAGAGUUUGCAGCAAGGCUACAGUGGAUUCUUAGCCUAUGUGAUGGACGCACGGGGGGCCACUGAGAGACCAAGUUCGGUGGGCGAGGUUUCGGUAGUGUGUGAAUUUCCCGAUGUUUUUCCCGAGGAACUUCCGGGCAUGCCUCCAGAAAGACAAGUGGAGUUCUGUAUCGAUUUGAUUCCGGGAGCAGCACCUAUCGCCAAGGCGCCUUAUCGCCUCGCGCCGCCGGAGAUGCAGGAGUUAUCCUCACAGCUUCAGGAGCUGUUGGGGAAGGGGUUUAUUCGACCGAGUAGCUCGCCUUGGGGAGCACCGAUCCUUUUUGUCAAGAAGAAAGAUGGUUCACACCGGAUGUGUAUUGAUUACCGGGAGUUGAACAAGUUGACGGUCAAGAACCGGUAUCUGUUACCUAGGAUAGAUGAUCUGUUCGAUCAGCUGCAGGGGGCUUCUUGGUUCUCCAAGAUAGACUUGAGGUCGGGUUAUCAUCAGAUGAGGAUUCGGGAUGAGGAUAUCCAGAAGACUGCAUUCAGAACUCGUUAUGGACAUUAUGAGUUUGUGGUGAUGCCUUUUGGGCUCACCAAUGCCCCAGCUGCAUUCAUGGAUCUCAUGAACAGGGUGUGCAGGCCGAUUCUGGAUCGGUCGGUGAUCGUAUUCAUUGAUGAUAUUCUGGUAUAUUCGAGGUCUAGGGAGCAGCAUGAGGAGCAUUUGAGGGAGAUCCUUGGAGUUCUGAGAUCGGAGAGGCUGUAUGCCAAAUUCUCCAAGUGUGAUUUCUGGUUACGAGAGGUCCAGUUUCUAGGGCAUCUUGUUAAUCAGAAAGGGAUUUUGGUCGAUCCGGCCAAGAUCGAGGCGGUGAUGAGAUGGGAAGUGCCGAGAUCGCCCACAGAGAUCCGAAGCUUUCUGGGUUUGGCCGGCUAUUAUCGAAGGUUUAUCAAGGAUUUUUCCAAGAUCUUCGUGCCGCUUACUAGGAUGACUCGGAAGGGUGUUGCAUUUUCAUGGGGACCGGAGCAGCAGUCCUCCUUCGAGACCCUUCGUCAGAAAUUGUGCGAGGUCCCUGUUCUUGCACUCCCAGAUGGGAUGGAUGAUUUUGUGGUGUUCUGUGAUGCAUCUAUAUAUGGAUUAGGGGCAGUGCUUAUGCAGAGGUGACACGUUAUAGCGUAUGCUUCGAGGCAGCUGAAGACUCAUGAGUCGAGAUAUCCCACUCACGACCUGGAACUGGGGGCUGUGGUGUUCGCCCUCAAGAUCUAGCGGCACUAUCUUUAUGGUGUUCGGUGUACCAUAUACACGGACCACAAGAGUCUGAAGUACUUGAUGGAUCAGCCAAAUUUGAAUAUGCGACAGAGGAGAUGGUUGGAUGUGGUGAAGGACUAUGAUUGUGAGAUCCUGUACCACCCGGGCAAGGCGAAUGUAGUAGCCGAUGCGUUGAGCCGUAGAGUGGAAAGCGCCCCGAUUCGAGACAUUUGUAUGAGGUUGACGGUGAUGACUCCGAUUUUGGACACCAUCCGAGGAGCCCAGGCUGAGGCUGCGAGACCAGAAAACCAGAAGAGGGAGCGGGAUGUCGGUCAGGUAUCGAAAUUCGUUACGGAUGGGCGGGGACUCAUGACUUUUCAUGGUCGGAUUUGGGUACCGUUUGUGGGCGGUACGCGUACUAUUUUGAUGGGGGAAGCGCAUCGGUCAAAAUUCUCGAUUCAUCCCGAGGCUACCAAGAUGUAUUUGGACCUAAAGAAGGAGUAUUGGUGGCCUUGUAUGAAGAGGGAUGUUGCAUGGUUCGUCGAGAGGUGCCUGACUUGUCGUCAGGUUAAAGCCGAGCACCAGCGUCCGCAAGGUAAAUUGCAGCCGCUGGAGAUUCCCAAAUGGAAGUGGGAACAUAUUACCAAGGAUUUUAUCACCAAAUUGCCAAGGACUGUAAGGGGAGUCAAUGCAAUUUGGGUGAUUGUGGAUAGAUUGACGAAGAGCGCUCAUUUUCUGGCCAUCAGUGAGAGCUCUUCUGUGGAGAAGUUGGUAGAAUUAUAUGUCAGGGAGGUGGUAUCGCGGCAUGGGGUUCCGAUGUCGAUCGUUUCAGAUCGGGAUGUGCGAUUUACUUCCAGGUUUUGGAAGAAGUUUUAUGAGAAGUUAGGUACGAGUCUGCAAUUCAGUACCGCAUACCACCCGCAGACGGACGGACAGAGCGAGCGGAUGAUUCAGACGCUCGAGGAUAUGCUCCGAGCGUGCGUUUUGGAUUUUGGAGGGAGUUGGCACACCUAUUUACCCUUAGCAAAGUUUUCGUACAACAACAGCCAUCAUUCGAGCAUCGGUAUGCCACCUUUUGAGCUGUUGUAUGGGAGGAGGUGUCAGACCCCCAUCUACGGGGGAGAGGUGGGGCAUCGGGUAAUGGGUAGUACAGAGAUUGUGCUUCAGACGAUAGAGCAGAUACAGCAGGUCAGGCAGGGAUUGUUGACCGCUCAGAGUCGCUAGAAGAGUUAUGUGGAUAGGCGUCGGUCCGAGCUCGAGUUUCAGGUUGGUGACCUUGUACUCUUAAAGGUCUCUCCUUGGAAAGGAGUGAUUCGAUUCAGGAAGAGGAGCAAAUUGGGACCUCGGUAUAUUGGACCUUUCAGGGUAAUUGCGAGAGUAGGCAGGGUAGCCUACCGUUUGGAUCUACCUGCAGAGCUGAGUCAGAUUCACGACACCUUUCAUGUGUCGCAGUUGAGACAGUGUAUUGCCGACGAGUCAGCUGUGGUUCCAUUAGAGGAUAUUCAGGUGGAUGCGGGCCUGAACUAUAUUGAGAGACCGGUGGCAAUUAGGGAUCAAAAGGUUAAGGUUCUGAGGAACAAGGAAGUGUUGGGUUUUGAGCAUUCUAACACUUCCUAAGUGUACAUGCAACCCUAAAUACCUUGGAUCUAUGUUUUCUCUAUUAUACAUGCAAAUAAGAACUUCCAAGGUAUUAUCCUAAUCUAGCAUACAAAACAAUAACUAUAGCAAGAUAGAAUACAUACCUCUUUGGUGUAGAAUGUCUUCAUGAAGCUUGAGUGCCUAGUGCCCCAAGUGUGACACCUCAAAUGGAAUCACAAUCAUCAAAACACUUAGAAUAACUUGAGAGAAUUCUACACUCUUCAAAAUCGGCUAGCCCUUUCUUCACUAUCUCUAGUGGCCCUUUUUUCCUCAAUAAUAAGAUGCUUAUAUAGUUACACAAUUAGGGUAAACUCUUAAUUGUCAUGGCUUUCCAUUUCCUUGGAUCCAUGGGUACAAAUACACCAUGGAGCAUCCAUGGACCAUCCUAUGGGUUUUAGCCCAACUUGAUUAUCCAUGGAGCAUUAGCCCACUAUACAAGUAUGGAUGAUUUACACAAUCAACCCAUAUAUUUAAUUAGUCUUCUUUUGAUCACUUAAUUAAUCCUAGAUUAAUUCUUGAUCAAUACUAAUUAAAUAAUCUUAUUAUUCUUAUUAUUAAUAUACUAGAACUUAUAAUAUAUUAAUAACCAUAAGUGUCUUAUUUCUCUCAUUCAAGUGCAUGAUGGUAUGCAACCCAAAUGGACCAUGCCGGGUCGGGUCAAGUCUUACCAAAUAUAGUUAUGGACUUAGACAUUAAUCCAACAGUCUCCCACUUGGAUAAGUCUAAAACUAUUAUUGCGUAUGACUUCAGGAACCAACCGGCAAUCGUAGCUCUCAAAAGCUUCUGUCGAACUCUGACCUUGUAGAUGAACUCUGACCUUUGUCAGUGACUUGUCCAUUAGAUAAGGGAUCAUAUAUUCCUCCAUUCUAGAUAUCAUAUGGACUGAGACAUGGAUUAUAAUCAUUCUCUCUGUCCAUUUGUUGUUUCCCGAUUUCCGAUUUAUGACGACUGACUAAUUGAACAAAUCAAAUCAGUCCUGGCCCGGCCGAGCACUUCCAUUUGUCAUCAUCAAAUCAUCGAGGGGCCCACAGAUAUCGCUUUUAUCCCGAAGGUAAAAGGAACGGAUAAACUUCGACUCAUAUGGCUUGUUCUACUACUUGUUGAAUCAUACACAAAGGCACGUUUUAUAGCACCGAGUUACCAAAUGCGUUUUCGUGCUAUCAAUGUACUAUCAACUCAUAGUAACAACUCAUAUCUCUAGGUUUGAAGAAUAUAAGAUAUUAUCGUCUCAUGAUCACUCGUGAUAAAAUCCAUGAAGUGAUUCCAAUGAGCGCGGGUUGAAUCCAAUACUCAGAACUUAUGAGCACUCAUGAUUGUUGUAGCCUUGUCCAACACCUUAGACCUCUACAACCCAUCAUGACAGUCUUAAUUCAUAUCUACUUCCAACAUAUGACCGACUGUGGAUGGUUUGAAUAACUUAGUCAUUCCGGAAGAAUAACCCAGUUUAUUCGGGAAGUCAAAACAUGCAAAGUGAAACACAAUAAUAAUUGAAUCCAAUAUGGUAUCAACCCUUUGAACAUAAAUAAAACACCUUUUAUUUAUCACCAUAUGAUUACACAUUAUUCAUUGUAUACUGUUUCAGCUAUCAACUUUAUUCUUGAAUUUAAAACAAUAGUUGUCCCAUGCUCCAAGCAUGUACACUAUGUUUUCUUAAACACUAGUCAUGCCACACACCAAGUAUGCAUACUAUGUUUGUCUAUGAUCUUUACUUUGUGAACUAGAUCAAUUGAACAUAACUUCAAUGAUUCUCUUUUCACACUCCCAAAUCCUUACUGCAAAUGCAAGAAUUCCAAAUUCAUGCCAUUUACUGAAAUCUGUUAGAUUCUAAACUUAUAUGCAUUGAUCCUCUUGUAAUGAUUAUGCACAAAGUCAGAAAGACUUGACAACAAUCAUUACAGAGUAUUCCAAAGGAGAUCAGCUCCUUGGAAACAUCCUUCUUGCAUUAAGUUUCCUAAUCUUAAACAGAUUGAAAAUUCUAACUUUGAAACAUUUCCAGAUUCCAUUUUGACUAUCACUUCUGAACAAGAGUUGCCUCCUUACAGAUUAUGUCAAUAUGGUCCUUCCAGAAUUAUCACUAUACUUCCAACUGUCCUUGAGCAACCAAUCUUUGGUAAACCUUAGAUUGUCCUCGACAAUUGUUUAAUCCUUUUAGUCAUAUCCAGUUCUAAACCUUUUCCCUUCUUAAUGCCCCAGGCAUUUGGAAAAUUUUAGAACGGAUGAAUAUAGCACAUGUAAUCGAUCCUAUAUCCGAAGCAUAUGGGACACGAUUCAUGAUGUCUUACAUAAAGACUAAACCAGUCUUUUGCUAUAAUAUUUCCAUUUCAAUUUGCCAAGUUCUCAUAAUUCAGAUUAUGAAAAGGGAUGCCGUAAUCAUAAUCGAAUUUUAGAACGCAAAUAAUGGACCCAUAUACAGAAUUUCCUUAUGUUGAGCCAUUCCAACAUGAAAUUCAUAUAUAUCCUUGACUAAAUGAUUAAAACCUCACGAUCUAAGCUUAUAGAUUUGAGAUGAAGUAUAAUUUCCUCUCCCUUAAUUAUAGCAAAACAACUUUUUCCCAAUUGAAACUUUUGUUUUCUAUAAUUAACAUUGCUAACUUGCAAUACUUAUCAUAAUUAUCAUGCUCCCACUAACAUGAUGAUUAUUAGCAUAACACUUAUGCUCCCACUAGCUUUGACAUGUACUCAGAAAUCAGCUGGACUUCUAGAAAUCAAUACUUCAUUGACUUUCUUACCAAAGUUCAGAUUUCUGAUGCUAGAUUGUUUUGAUAAAACUUUAUCAAAAUCAUACACCUUCCCUUAGAUAGCACACUUGUGUAUCUAAACAAUUAUGAAGAGGGAUGCCGUAAUCAUAAUGUUUAGACCUUUUUGCCACUUCUCACAAGUCCAAAUUAGUGUGCCGGUUAACCACACGCGCUCCACUAACGACUUUGAGAAUGCAAAUAUCACAAUUGCUAUCUAGCUAAAAUCUACUUAGUGAAAGUGUUUCCUCACCAUCAUUUUCAUGAAUCGGAGAGAAACCUUAUGACACUUAGAUUUAAUGGUGUAUGUGUUCUUAUCCAUGUGAAUUGUCAAAACCAUAGUCACAAGACAAGGAUAAUGACAAAUCCAAACUCAUAUGGACUGAACUCAAUCUUAAUUUCUUGCCACCUGGCAGCUCAAGGGCCUACCAUUGCUUCCAAGUUGUUGUGCAACAAAUUGAGAACUCUAAGAACUCAUAUGCAAAGCCAACUUUAACUGGAAUGGGCACAGAAUAUGUCAACACGAUAGGUUAUGAACCUCAAGUCGUGUGCUAGUGAAGAACUUCAGGUUUUAUUCUUGAUUAGUUCUUGAGACUUUCAAGACCUUUAAGACUCCCACUGUCCUCUUGACAUAUAAGACUCCCUUGUCAAACAUCCAAGAGAUAGUGCGGAUUCUAAUCAAGAAAAACACUUUACCCAAUUGGCCUAAGUUGGUCUUUGUUUUAUCCAAAACAUCACAACUUACCAAUUUCAAAUGUACAAGAGUAGAAAACUUUUACUCUUACAUUUGACAAGUGUUUUAAACCUUCUUUAAGACAUGUCACUCAAAUGACAAUCUUGGAGUAUGACUCUAAGACUUGUAUUGGAACGAAGUAUGACUCAUCUUCUUGAUUUAACCAUUUCAACAAUUCAAGUUCCUCUUCUUAGUCAUAAGAAUGCACUAAGAUUUCCUUAGAGAACUAAUUUUGAUAUGGUUUCUUAAUCAUUAAGAUGAUCACAAAACUGAUACUAAAGUACUCUCCCAUCUUUUCAGAUUUGAGAAACUUUUAUCCUUCUGCCUAAUUUGAUUCUUCUUAUUCGCCCUGCCAUACAUUGGAACCUUUUCCAAUGUCUCAGAGUUACACUUAAGCUUGUAAGUAUAAUCAUAUUUACUGAGCUUUAGUAAACUAUGACGAAUAGUCUUAUCAAUCUUUUGUGGUGGACUUAAUCAGUGCACAAGAAUGUGUACUCGAUCCCUUAGUCCUUUACUUGACUCACACAUCCAUGUGGCCGAGUAAUUAGUCUUAAUUUUCCAAAACUUGAAAGUUCUCAUUCAUCAUGCUAUACAACUUGCAUGAUUCCAAGUUCCGGUCCAAUUGAAACUUGGGUGAUGAGAAUCUUUCCUUAUUUGGUAAAUCUAGACAUUACCACAAAUGAAAGAAUCAAUUUCAUAUUUCCACUCUUGCUCUUAAUGGAAUCAUAUAAGCAACAAUUUUUCCUCAAAUGCCAUUGUAAGGAUAUUUUAAAAUAAAUAAAAUCAAAAAUUUUCCUUUUAUUUUAAAACUUUGCGGAAAAACUUAUCCUUACAAUCCAUAUGAAAACUUGUUGUUAUCUAUUCCUAAGCAAUAUCUCAUAACUCCUAAGAAGUUGCUCAAGAAUCCGAUCUUCAAACUAUGCGAUAGAAAUCCAUCUACGCCAUCAGAUUCAGCAUAUUCUUUCUUUAAGUUUCUUCACUUUUCUUUGAUUCUUAAAACAUCACCAUGUGACCCAGUCACAUCAUGUAUCAGGAAUCUCAGAAUAGAAACUUAACAGAGUUAGAUAGUGGACUUUACCUGAAGUAGAGUCAAACUUAUUGACUUUAACAUCCUUAGGUAAAUUUGGCAGCUUCGCAACCAAUGCCCCUUCCUUUGGCAAUAUAAACAUAUGGACCCUUUGAUAAUGGUACACGAGACUAUCACAGACUUAGCUUUUCUCUUUACCAUUUGGUCAACCGAGUUGACUAUGGCCGAUCCCUUUCCAUUGGGAAGAGAAUGCUUUACUGGAUAUCCAAUGUCAUCAUUGUCAAUGUCCAUAAAGUUUUAGGAAGUUGAUCUUAGCAAAUAGAUAAGAUCAUUAAGGGUCUUGUCAUAGUCUGUUUCAUAGGUGUCCCAAAGGAACUCACUAUGUGACUUAGAAAGUGAUUGAACCACCAACUUUCUCAAGACUUUGACACCCAACUCUCCCGGCUUGUCAAUAUGUGACUACAUCUCCAAGAUGUGAUCACACCUAGACCUUGCCUUGCCAAUAGGGCUUGAGUGACCUUAAACUUUUCAAGAACUUGUGGGUUAGGGAGAAUAAUUGGAGGAGGAGAAAGAAGUAUGAUAUCCAUGGGACAUCAUCUUCAUUAGGAAACCUUGUUUCAAGAGAUUUGGGAAGAUCAUAGGUGUCUAAACCAGACAUCUUUUGGGAGAUAUUCAAGAUAGUUGAUUUAAAGUCCUUAAUAUGACACCCAAUAUGAAAUAUUAAGGCUAGGACCCAACAAACUAUUUUAUAACUUAGAAGAGGUAUGCCGUAAUCCAAGCUAUAAAAUAUUUGAAGGUAGGUGAAUGACGAUUCACCAAUUUCCACCAAGAUAAACGAAAUGUAUUAUUAGGUUUUAAUUGGUUUUGAAACUCCUAGAUCUUUGAGAUUCAUUGAACUGUUCAAAGGCAUGUUUCAAUCUCGAGUGUGCCCUUCAGGUUUUGUGACUGGGAUGCCGAGGAUCACAAAACAAGGUGUGAAGUAACCAUGCAAAUCACUUGGUACCCUUAAUAAAUUACCCCUCAAUCGAUGUGCCGGUUAACCACACACGCUCCAUCGAUACUAUGAUAAAUAUUAAGUCACCCUUUACCUACCUUGUUAAGUCCAAGUUAGUGUGCCGGUUAACCACACACGCUCCACUAACGACUUAGACAAAGUGUAAAGUGUAAUUUCAUGGAUUAGCACCUUAUUCACAUUUUUCCUAAGUAACUAAGAUUGGGUAUUAUUAAGAGUUUAGUUACUUAGUAUUAUCAUUAAUACUUUUAAUGAAGGGAGAAUUCUAGUCCUGUCAAACCCGUUCGGCUAACGACCCUCCACCAGUCAAGCAAGCGGUGGGUGAGAGUGGACACCCAUUAAGUUGCCAUUUUAUAGGCAACAACCUUAUACCCACCUUAUAGACCGGCUUCGUGAAUGAGGCGUACUAGCGGUAAGACUGACUUUACUCUUAUACAUAUAUAUAUUAUUAACUUAUAAUAUUAUAAAGUAUAAGGGUUGAAUUUUAACUUUUAAAAUUCUAAGGGCUAACUUGGAAUUAAAGUAUUCAUAAGUGAAAACUUUACAAAUUCCAAAACUUGAGGGCAAGUUUUGAAACUAUUCAAAACUAAUUAAUUCCAUAACUUAUGUGUUUAAAGUAGUUUUAAUCCAAAAACUCUUCAAGUUCCAUAACUUGAGGACAAGUUAUGGAAGACUUUAAACUAAUAAAAGAAUUAACUUUUCUUUAUUUUAUAACUUAUGGAAUUAAUUAAGGUUACACUUUUUUUUUUUUUAUUUUAUUUUAUUAAAUGAAGAGACUCUUGGUCCUCCAUAACUUGAGGACAAGUUAUGGAGUCAUAAAACCAUUUAAUUAGAACUAGACUCUUCAUUUUUGUAACCUUUGCCAAUUUUUAUGAGUUUUAUGAUUCUUAAAUGUGACUUUUCAUAUAACUUGAGGACAAGUUACAAAAACACAUUUUAGAAUCAAUUCUUAGAUUAAUUUGGAUUAAAACCAACUAUCACAUAAUUUUAUUCAUUAAUCUAAAUUCACUCAUAAAACAAGGUAACACAAAAAACUUUUGGUGAUCCAUAACUUAUUCUUAAGUUAUGGAAUCCUUUAAAACAUUAACACCAAAUUUUGUAACUCCAAAAAAACUUUGAAUCAAUUUUUUUUUUAAAACCUUUUCAUAUCCAUAACUUAUGGAGGUUUCAAAAAAUAAAACUCUUUAGAUCAAACUUUUAAAACUAAUAAAAUAAUCAUAUUAUUUUAUCUUUUAUUAAAUUUGACCUAAUUCAACUCAUAAAGCAAAUUAUUCAAAUUUUACAAAUAAUUAGUUUUUCACAAGAACAAGUAAUUAUCUUAAAAUUUGACAAACUUCAUGUUUUUUUUUUUUUUUUUUUUCAACUUUGAAAAUAAAAUAUUUGCAUCAAUAUAACAGAAAACAACCCGUGGCUCUGAUACCACUGUUGGGUUUUGAGCAUUCUAACACUUCCUAAGUGUACAUGCAACCCUAAAUACCUUGGAUCUAUGUUUUCUCUAUUAUACAUGCAAAUAAGAACUUCCAAGGUAUUAUCCUAAUCUAGCAUACAAAACAAUAACUAUAGCAAGAUAGAAUACAUACCUCUUUGGUGUAGAAAGUCUUCAUGAAGCUUGAGUGCCUAGUGCCCCAAGUGUGACACCUCAAAUGGAAUCACAAUCAUCAAAACACUUAGAAUGACUUGAGAGAAUUCUACACUCAUCAAAAUCGGCUAGCCCUUUCUUCACUAUCUCUAGUGGCCGAUUUUUCCUCAAUAAUAAGAUGCUUAUAUAGUUACACAAUUAGGGUAAACUCUUAAUUGUCAUGGCUUUCCAUUUCCUUGGAUCCAUGGGUACAAAUACACCAUGGAGCAUCCAUGGACCAUCCUAUGGGUUUUAGCCCAACUUGAUUAUCCAUGGAGCAUUAGCCCACUAUACAAGUAUGGAUGAUUUACACAAUCAACCCAUAUAUUUAAUUAGUCUUCUUUUGAUCACUUAAUUAAUCCUAGAUUAAUUCUUGAUCAAUACUAAUUAAAUAAUCUUAUUAUUCUUAUUAUUAAUAUACUAGAACUUAUAAUAUAUUAAUAACCAUAAGUGUCUUAUUUCUCUCAUUCAAGUGCAUGAUGGUAUGCAACCCAAAUGGACCAUGCCGGGUCGGGUCAAGUCUUACCAAAUAUAGUUAUGGACUUAGACAUUAAUCCAACAGGAAGUACCCUUGGUGCAAGUGCAGUGGCAGCAUCGGAAGGGGUCCGAGCUGACAUGGGAAUCCGAGUCUGAGAUGCGGGAGCAGUAUCCAGAUUUGUUUUCGGUUUAAGACUUCGGGGACGAAGUCUGGCUCUAGUGGGGGAGAAUUGUAACAGCCCGAAAUCCAGGUACCCUUUUAUUUAGCCCUUCAUCUUUAAUUGUUGUCAUUUUAGGGCCUUUGUGUUGGGCGAGUACGCUAGGCAUACAAGGAGUACGCCACGCAUACUAGCGCUCCUCGUUUGGACGCAUUGUCCCUCAGGUACACUGGGCGUACCCAAGGUUACGCAGGGCGUAAUCGGUUCAUACCCAAAACUGUAAUUCGUGUUGUUGACCUAUAAAAGGAAUGAGAUGGCUUGGCUCCUCAGCCACCAUCCCUCAGAAAGAAACCCUAAGAGAGUGCUCCUUCGUUCCUAGUCCUUUUGUGAGUGUUCUAAGCUUGGUGGUGCCAUUUCAAGGUAGCAAAGGAGAAGAAGAGUCCAUUGUGAAGGCUAGAAGCUGGUGUUCAAGUGUAGAUCCGGGCUUAGCAAAGGUUGGAGCUUCUUUCUAAGGUAAAAAGUUCGGAUCUUGACUUGUAGAUCUUGUGGUAUGCUUUAUGGACCAUUUUCUAGGGUUUUGUCCCAAAGGUGGAGACUUUAUGAGCAAGUCGUCUCCAUUAGCUUAGAUCCAUCAUAUUUUUGGUCCUUUUGAGUUGUAGAUCCAUAAAAAUGUAAUCUUGGACGUGAAUGAUUAGCCAUGCAUGAGAUCUAGAUCCUUGAGUUGAUAUGGAAAGGUGUUAAGGAGUGUAAGGACCUUUACAGCCAUGCCAAGGCUUAAAGGUUCCGACUUUAUGAGUAAGGAUGCUUAAAUAAGGUCGGAUCUAGAAGUUGUAGUAGUGGCUUAACCAACUAAGACCAGAAAUGAAGUGUGUCUAGAUCUGACUAUUAUGAUGGGCGUAACUCCCAGUACGCAUAGUGUACAUUGUGGAGACCCCGAUUAUUGAGUUGGCGAUGUACGCCCCACGUACAUCAGUCUGUACGCCCCGUGUACUGGAGAUGUUGACUUUUGUUGACUUUUAGGGUUUUGGUCAACAUGUGGACUUUGAGUCAAGAGAGGGUAAAAUGGUCUUUUACCCCUCUGAGGAAUGUUAAUAAGGGGUAAAGUCUAGUGUGGAUGUCUAUAUUAAUUAAAAUGAUAUUCGUUAUGAUUAGGCGAGGUUGAGUCUUUGUUUGGGGAUUCGGGGAUAGCGAGCACGUGAGAUUCUAGACUUUCCAUGAGGUGAGUAUUCUCACUAUACUGUACCCGGAAGGGUUUUAUUAUGUGACCGGAAGGUCGUAUAUGUUAUGAGUUAUAUGCAUUGUGUGUGAUAAGUUAAUCGUUUGUAUGUGCCAUGUAUGAUAUGCUUAAUAUGGGCUGGAAGGCUUUAUGUUAUGGGCCGGAAGGCAUAUAUGUUAUGGGGCGGAAGGCGUUGUGAUGUGAACCGUAAGGUUGACGUAGGUAGGACCGGAAGGUUUACCUAGUCGGGACGGAAGUCCCCUGAGACACAUGGACCGGAAGGUCAGGGCCUGGAAAGGCGUACGUGUGUAACUUGUAUUUUGGGGAAGUCACUAAGCAAUUAUGCUUACAGUUGUUGUGUUAUGUGUUCCUGGUACUAGCGAGGACCGUGGGAAGGCGCUGGCGUGAUCUAUACACACUGAUGGAGGAUUUAUUAUCUUGGGAUUUAUAUCAUUUGCAUUAUGAUAUGACACAUUGGAUCUUUAUGACUUAUUUUGGAUGGAAACAUGUUUUAAUAAAUGAAAAUUUUGUUUUGAAAAUUUUCGUUGUUACAGAUACUCUACCCUGUAUCGUUUCGUUUCUAGCAACUUUUGAGUCUCUAUCAAUUGAUUAUUAAGUUUCUUUGCCUCGUUACUAGUAGACACAACAAUAGCAUCAAAGUAAGCAACAAUAUCAUCAAAAGCUAUUAUUUCAGAAUCAUAUGCCUGUAAAGGAAUAUUGAAAGAUUCGAGCAUAGAACAUACCUUUAUAGUCAUUGGAGAUUUGUCACUUGACUUCGAAACGAAGCAAUGUCCAGAUAUCUCCUCUUUUUCUUCCUCCUCGAAUUCUACAAAAAUGGCACCAUGUGUUGGAUGUCUCAUCUCGUCAUCAUCAGACCCGGAAGACCAAAUCAGAUAAAUACCACUUUCUUGAUCUUCAUUCUCUCCUCUUGCCACAAGAGACAAACUCUUGUCUUUCUCACGAACUUCCUCCAAUAUUUCAACAUAAUAAGCUUCGUUCUUCACUCUAUUCUUCUUCUCCUCUUUCUUUCGAAGUAUACAAUCAAUAGCAAAAUGAUUCACACCAUUACAGUAAUGACAAUCUACACCAGAAUCUCCUUUCAAUUUCUUUUCUGCUUUCAAGUUUUUCACUUUAUCAUCAUUCUUCACAGGCUUUUCAAACUUCUUUUUCUCUUCCAUACAAGACUUCGUAAGAUUUCCUUUUAUCUCACUCUGCUUUCCCUUAGAAUUAAAAGGCUUUUUGAAGAACUUAACAUGAUUAUUUGAAUAAAAAGAAAUAGCUUCAUCAUCCGGAUUCAUAAGAAAACCUUCUUCAUUCGAAUUUUCCUUUUUAGGAAAUUCCACUUCAGACACUUUCGAAACAAGAGCUAGUGGUCCUCCUAAACUCUGUUUCGCUUCUUCCAUUAUUUUAGAUACUUCACUUUUGUGUGUCUUCAGUUGAUUGUAAACAUCAUUCAAUGAAGAAAUAUCAAGGCUCUGUUGAUUUUUGAUCAUCAUAUUAACACUCCUCCAUUCCUUCUUGAGUCCCAUAACAUAAGUAAGAUUAUACUCCAUUAGAGACCUUGUGAUUCCAUAGGGAUUACAUCUGUAGAUCAACUCAUUCAGACGAUCAUAGUAAACUUCAAUUGUUUCAGUUUCCUUCUGUUUGAACUCUUUCAGUUCAACCAAACAUUGCUUAACAAAAUUGAUCUUAUUCUUCUCACUUCCUUGAUACUUUUACUUGAGAGUAUUCCAUAUAUCCCUAGCUGUUAUACAACCAUGAAAGUAGUUAUAAACAAUAGGUGGCAAAGCAUCUCUCAAUUCCCUCAUACAACGCUUUGCGUGUUUCUCCAAUCUUGUUUGUUGUUCUCCAACUACAGAAGUAGUUCCAGAUGAACCAAUAUUUUGAACAUUUUCUGGAGGUUGAACUUUUCCUUUGAUGCAAUUCCAUAACUCUUCAUCCAGACCAUUCAAGUAGUCUUCCAUACGAUCAGCCCACUGAUCGUAGUAUUCUGGAAUCAGCAUUGGAAAUUUGGUUGAUGAUCCGAGCAAAUGUGAAUAUAAAGUCAUUGUGUUCAUGUUGAAAUUCGCUAUUGAUGAACACACGAGAAAAAAAAAUUCAGAAAUCACAGAAAACUUGAUUAAUUUGAGAUUUGAUCCAACGAAUUGAUCAGAAACAUAUAAUCGAUCACUCGAUUAUACAAUUUGAAUGCAGAAUCUAAUCAAAUAUGUAGAUCAGACGUGAUUUUCAUAACUAAAAGCACAGAAACUUUUGAGACAAAAGAAAUGACUCAAAAUCAGAUGAUUCAGAAUGAAAAUCAGAUCAUUGGAGUUUGAUUCCUGCUCUGAUACCUAUUGUAGAAGAAUUGUAUUCAAGAAAUCGAUUAAGAUCAAAAUGAUCAGUAUGAUGAACACAGAAAGUAAAUAAGUCAUUGAAGUUUUAUUACUCUCUCAAUAAGCUCUAUUACAAAAAUAGACUUCGAAAUCUAGUGAAAGCUUGCUCUGUCUAAACUAAAGCUUAGUCCCUAUUUAUAAGGAACAAGAGAGUACAAAAAAAAUACUAAGUCUGAUACAAUAACACUUCGUAAAAAAUUGACUUAGUAAAUACAUUAGAUAAGAAAAUAGACUAAACACUAUUCGACUCUUUACAAGACUUCGACCCUUACACAUCCUUCUUCAUAGUUUGAAUUGUGAGAACAUGGAAAAUAAAAAGGAAUAGAACCAGACAUGACUAAAAUGAUUAAACAAUUGUCGAGGACAAUCUGAGGGUUACCAAAGAUUGGUUGAUUGUGGAAAAUUGGAAGUAUAAUGUAAACAUUGGAAAGGACCAUAUUUACAUAUUCUGAAAAGAAGAAACUCUUGUUCAGAAGUGAUAGUCAAAAUGGUAACAUGGAAUUGUUUCCAUAGGUGGAAGUUAUUCUCUGAAUCUGUGCAAGAUUAAAGAACUUAAUGAAAAGAAGGAUGUUCAAAAAAAUGUACAUUGAAUUUGAGAAUUCAUUUCUAUGGAAUUGCUUUCCAUUGGAAUACUCUCUAAUGUCUGUUGCCAAGUCUUUGUGACUUCUGUGCAUAGUCAUUACAAGGGGAUCAUUGCAUAUAAGUUUAGAAUCUAACAGGUUAUAGUAGUUGGCAAGAGUUUGGUAUUCUUACAUUUACAAUAAGGAUUGGAAUUGUGAAACAAACAUCAUUGAAAUAUUGUCAUUUGAUCUAUUUCACAAAGAGAAGACCAUAUGUAAACAUAGUGUGCAUACUUUAAGUACGACAUAGCUAUUGUUUGGAUGAACAUAGUGUGCAUGCUUGGUGCAUGGCAUGACUAUUGUUUCAAUUCAAGUAUUAAGUUGAUAAAUUAAAACAAUGAAUAAUGAGUAAUCAAUACGGUGCUUAGAUAAAAGGGUUUUUAUUUACACUCAAGAGUUUCGGACCAUAUAGGAUUAAGUAUUAUGCUUUUGUUUCACUUUGCAUGUUUUGACUUCCAUAAUAACUAGGUCAUUCUUCCCGAAUGACUAAGUUAUUCAAACUCUCCACAGUCAGUCAUACUUUGAAAGUAGGUAUUGAUUUAAGACUGUCAUGAAUUUGGCUUGUGUGAUUUGUCUAAUGUGCAUUAGACAUAGCAAUGGUUGCUACAACAUUCAUGAGUGCUCAUAAGUCCUGAGUAUUGGAUUCAACCCAUGCUCAUUUGGAUUCAUUUCAUGGAUUUUAUCACGAGUGAAUCGUAAGACGAUAAUAUCUUAUAUUCUUCAAAUCUAGAGAUACGAGUCGUUGACUAUGAGUUGGUUAUACAUUGAUUGCACGAAAAUGCAUUGGAAACUCGAUGUUAUAAAACAUGCCUUUGUGUAUGAUUCAACAAGUAGUCAGUACAAGCAUAUGAUCCGAUGUUUCUCCAUUCCUUUUACCUUCAGGAUAAAGGCGAUAUCUGUGGGCCCCUUAAUGAUUUAGUGAUGACACCCUUAAGUGCUUGGCCAAGCAUGGACUGAUUUGAUUUGAUCGAUUAGUCGGUCGUCAUGAAUUGGAAAUCGGGAAACAACAAAUGGACAGAGAAAUGAUUAUAAUCCAUAUCUCAGUCCAUAUGAUAUCUAGAAUGGAGGAAUAUAUGAUCACUUAUCUAAUGGCCGCGUCAUUGAUUUGUUUAGAGUUCGGCAGCAGCUUUUAAGAGCUACGAUUUGCUGGUUAGGUUGUGAAGUUAUACUUGCAAUAUAGUUAUUAGACUUAUCCAAGUGGGAGACUGUUGGAUUAGUGUCUAAGUCCAUAACUAUAAUUUGUAUACACUUGACCCGACCCGUUAUGGUCCAUUUGGGUUGCAUGGCAUCAGAACAUUUGGGUAGACCUUUUAAUGAGAAGAAGAUAUUUGUGACAUAUUAAUAUAUUAUAAGUUCUAAUAUAUUAAUAUGAAAUCAUAUUAUUUAAUUAGUAUUGAUCAAUAAUUAAUUUGGAAUUAAUUUAGUGAUCAAAAGAGACUAAUUAAAUAUAUGGGGAUUGAUUGUGUAAAUCAUUGAUUCUUAUAUAUGUGGGCUUGUGAUCCAUGAUUCCUUAUGUUGGGUUGAACACAUGUGGUAGCCCAUGGAUACUCCAUGGAGGUUAAAACCCAUGGAGCAUAAGGAAUGGGUAAAGACAUGGGUUACAUGGCGUAACCCUAAUGUGCACACUAUAUAAAGACCCCAUUAUUGGUGAAAUCGGCACUAGUGGACAACAUAGAGGGCAAGCCAAUUUCAUAGAGUGACAAGACUCAUAUCUUCUCUCAUGGUUAUUCCAAAUGUUCAUGGUGCUGUGUGAACCAUUUGAUGUGUCACAUUUGGGGCACUAGGCUCUUGAGCUCCAAGGAAUCAAGCACCAACAAAAGGAAUGUCAUUCUACUAGAUUUUAUAUUAUUUGUACUUCAUAAUAUGCUAGUUAGGAUAAAUACCUUGGAUAUUGAUAUUUGCAUGUAUAAUAGAGAAAACAUAGAUCCAAUAUAUUUAGGGUAGCAUGUACACAAUAGGAGUGUUAGUAUGCUCAAAACCCAACACGAUGUACUCUAAACAUCUUACCAACUGCAACUAAAGGAUAAUAUAGGCAGUUGCUCCUAAUAGAGAACAUCAUAAUCCUGGCGGUUGGGACUAAUAGAAAACGUCAUAAUCCAGGCGGUUGCACCUAAAUGAUAAUAUUGGCAGUUGUGCCUAAUAGGUCACAUUGGCAGUUGUGCCAUAGGCAAUGAUGAACUUCGUGCCUAUUCCUUAGGAGAAUCCUUAGGAGUGAAUGAGUGAAUGAUAGACUAUUCUUAGGGUAGAUCCUUAAGAAAUAAAGAAGAUAACGGGUAUGGGUAAUUGGGUUAAUUGUGUGAUAAUGAAACAUAAUAACAUUAUUAUUAUUAUUGUUUUAUGAAAACCCUAUGUACACACCAGGUUUCUUAACAUGACCCACCCAAUUUAUUUGUAUCACAGAUAUCGAUACGAGGCUACAUUAUACUGAGGGGUUAAAGGAGAUGUAAAUCACUAGUGUAAAUGAAUGUAAGAUAUAUUUAUGCUUAUGUUUCUGUAUUGACAAUGACAUCCCAAAGUUUUAAUAAAAACUAAAUACAUUUCUUCGGUAAUGCUUUGAUACUAUAUUUAUCAUGUUUUCGGGGAACAAAUUCCUCAAUAUUAUUUGUUAAAUUGAAUACUUUGAUUUUCAAAUAAGCAGAAAUAAAAUUUUUAAAAUGAUUGGGAAUUUGGAGAUGUCACAUUGGGUUAUACCCAAGGUUGUAAAAAUCGCUCGACGUUCGCUAAUCGGUGGACUGGGGUUAUGGGAAUAAUCGGCUAGGCGGAGAUUAAUCGGGGGAUUAUUCGGAGACCAUUAAUUUCUAAUUUGUUAGAUUUUAAAAAAUUAAAUAUGACUAAUAUCAUAUAAAACUUAGUAAAUACCAUUAAUAUCAUAACAAAAUAGGAUAAUAUGAUAAAUACAAUACUAAUCAAACCUCAAAUAGUUUAUAUUGAGAUGUAAAUUCUUCAAAGUUUUAAAAUUUCAUCGGGUUCUAUUGGUUCUGUCAUUGUGUAUGUAGGGAUUAAUCGAUAAGCGCCUAGGGAUUAAUCGGAGAUUAAUCAGGACCUAAUCGGGUUUUUUACAACAAUGGUCAUACCUAAUUAUAGGCCAAUAAUGCGUACUCGACAUAGUUAUACCAGAAGUAUGUUCAUUAUUUUAAAAGCCGUUUUGAAACGUUUUGGCUAUAGUUUGGUUUCUCCAAAGGAAAAGCGAUAUUAUCUAUAACCUCUGGCUCUGAUACCAUUCUCUGUCACACCCCGCUAAAGAGGAAAUAUGAGGUGCAAAAGUACAACGGGUCUCAUAGCAAAAGAUAAAUGACAACACCACCCAUAGUAUUAAAAAGAAUUACAAUUUACAAUGAGUUUGAACAACUUGUAAAAGAAAUUGCAAUGUAUUUGAAUAACAACCGAAGCAAAUUGUCCUAUCAAUGAUGUGUCCCUACAUGCCAUCUUACUAGAUGAUUCCUGAAAAACCAUGUAAAAUGAGAGGUCGACUACUGAAAUAAUUAGCGAGUUCAUGGUUUUAUAGCGUCAUAUAGCUUUAAAUCAUGAGAAUCAGAAUAAUGAUAAAAAUUCCAUAAAUGAAAGUUCGUUGCUAAAAUGAGUAAUAAGGUUUCUAGUAAUUGAAGUUCGUUGCUAUAAUGAGUAAACAAGUUUGCAUAAAAAGUAGUUCCUUGCUAAAAAGAGUCACAAAGUUUGCAUAAAAAAGUUUGUCACUAUUAUAAGAAAUAAAGUCCGUUACCAUCAUGAGAAACAAAGUUCGAUGCUAACAUGAGAAACGAGUGUAUAUGUGUUUAAGUGUGUAUGUAUAUGUAUAGUGAACAAACAAUGAGUUUUAAACCAAGCUUAUGAUUUUCGUCCUACCAAGAUCUAUACUUAUCGUUCCAUUGAUAAAUAUGUUAUCAUGAACUCAAGCAUUCGGGCGAGUGAGGAGUUGUCAAUUCCUAAUAACGCUAUCCAUAAUAACCAUUGGCUCAAAGAGUUAAUGGUUGGAGUAAAGUGCAAGGGACUUAGUGACGAUAAAGCCUCAUGUUUCAAGUUGCAUAUACAUACAUAGAAAAAUAUAUCUAUCAAGUUUGAUACAAGUCAAAUAAAAUAUAACGAACAAUAAAUAGUUUUCGGACAUGAUUUUCCACCCCAAAAAGUAAAAACUAAAAAUAGGAGCCGUGAAUACUCACAACAUAUUUUGGCGAUGAUGCUAACGGUGCCUUGAAUGAAGUUCCACUCGUACAACUAGCGAUGUCCUACAAUAAUGGUAUACACUAGUGAGUCUCUAUUAGAAAUCUAAUACUAGCAUACUUAACUUAUACAAUAGAGCAAUGCCAAUAUUGUGUCAAAAUUUUGAUGUUGUUAUGUUACAAACAUUUGUCUUUAAAAUUUAGAUUGCUAUGAAUCAAUUUGUUUAAAAACAAAUUUAACUGCAAAACCUCAUUUUUCAAUGUUAGUUGUGAUUUACUUAUAAGAUUUUGGGAUAUGUUUCAAUUGAUUAACUCUUCAAAACUAAAUCAAGUCAGUUAUAAAAAUUUUCAAACUUUAUAUUUAAGUUCUAAUUGUAAUAAAAGAUCAUGAAAGAUUCUUAGAUUUUUGUGUAACUAUUUAAGAGUGUUCAUAAACUGUGAAAAAUAUGAAAUGCUACUUUUGAACAAUGAAACCUCGUUUUUAAUAAUUACAUUUUUUAUACCAAUAAAAUCUAAUUUAAUAGUAAAUAGUAAGUAAAAACCACCAAAUUUUUUUUAUUUGUGAUCUAAAUAUAGUCAAAGACUUCUAGAUAAGUUUUCAUGAGUUUUAGAUACCUCUAUCUAUUUUCCCUAUAAUAAAUCAUUUGAAUCAACACAAAUUCAUGAACAAAUAGUAAACAUUUAUGAUAAAUCCUCAAUAUUUUUAUACAACUAUUCUAUAAUGUAUAUGAGUUUUCAAAAAUGUCAAAAGUUGUUUCAAAAUGGCAGAGUCAGAUUUUAUGAUUUAUGUGUGUUUAAUCUAAAGAAAAUCAAGAUAAAUUGUAAACGGUGAGUAAAACUAGUGAAACUUUUUAAUUUUCGUUUACUGUCAGAAAUGACGUUCUGGACAAUUUCAUGAUAUUUAAAAUGUUUUGGCUAUUUUUCCUCAUUUAUUCAAUUAAAUAAGCAUUUAAAUCAUGAAAAAUAGUAACCAUUAAAGAAAAAAUGCUAAAAUUUUAUUUCAGGUCGUACUUUAAUGAAUGAUAUCCCAGUAAGUUUGCAUUAAUUAUGGAUAAACGUAAAUAUUUGUCCUAGAUUUAUUCCAUUAAAUUCACAACAAACGUGGAAAAAUAGAAAGAUGUUAUGAAAAAAUUUAAAAAUAUUUAUCUAAGUGUUAUACAAGAUCUAGAAACCGCGAAAAUUAUUAUAUAUUCAUUUCAGAUCUCAGAACAUGGUUUGAUGAUUUAUUUGAUUUAAAUACAAAGAAAACUAAAAAUCAUAUAAUCAUUGAAAAAAAUAGGUGAAACUUCAUGGGAAAUGGUUAUUUGUGAAUUUUACUAGGAUUUAUAGAGCUAAGAAACUAUUUUAUGUGAAUUUGUACUCUAUUUUAUUACAAAAAUUACAUAAUUCGAGAGAAAUGAUUUAGUUUCUGAAAAUUUCCAGAUCUUCUUAUUUAAUUGGUGGGAUUAUGGGAAAAUCGUAUGUGAGUUAAUGAGUUUUCAAUAGUUUGGUGUAUUAAAAUCUUUCAUGCAUAAAAUUUGAAGCUUUUAACAACAUACAUUGGUCAUUAAACAUCUAGGCUUGAAGAUCAACACAUGCAUGCUUGUUUAAGGCCAUGCAUGGUUUUGAAAAGUUUAAAAAUUAUUUUUGAAAGAAAUCAUAGGUCCAUGUUGUGAUUUCUCCACCAAAAGUAGCAUAAAAGUGGUUUAUUUUUAUUUUAACAUAGGUUUGGGUCAUGUGACUUCACCAAUUGCAAAAUUCAUGUUGUUUUUGGGUGAAAUCCUACCACUAUCAUACUUAAACCCAUGAAUAUGAAUGCAUGUAUAUGAAAAAUCAUGAAGAAAUGUGUAGAAGAAGAAAAAGAUGCAAGAAAACUUGAGAUUUAUGAACGAAAAAUGACGUAGAUGUAAGGGAUUUCGUGUUUAUCUCAUAGACCACACUUGAUGAAGAAGGUUUUUGAGUGUAUGCAUGUUUUCUUGGCUAGAAAUAUCGAAAAUAAGAUAAAGUUUGAGAGAACAUGAAGUUGUGAAUGUAGAGUGUGAAAGAGAAUGAGAGAGAAUAGAAGGAGUAGGAGGUAGAGUGUCAUGGAACUGAAAAUGAUUAAGAUUGUUGGGAAGGGGAAGAGUGGAUAGAUUUGAGGGAGUGAGAGAGGUUUUCCCCCAAUUCCGUUUUUAUAAAAUACAAAUCUUUUAUAAAAAUAUCUAAUAUUUUAUAAAAUGCACCAAAACCUAGUUUUUAUUCACACAACCAUAUUUUUUGCCUUAUAAAUUAUGGGUAUAGGUUGAUGACUUAAAUUUUGAUUUUCCAUUGAUUAUAUUUUCCUGAAUAUAUUUAUUUUAAAUUGAUAUUAUAAGGUUCAUAACAAAAUUUAUGGAGUUUUAGUUGUUAAAGUUUAUAAAUUUGAGUUUUUAGGGCUUUUUAGGGUUUUAGAAUUUAAUGAAUCAUUGGGCAUCAAAAUAGUUUGAAUUUUUGAGACUUGAAAUUAUUUUAGAGUCUUAUAACUAUUUUAUAGUUAUAAAUACUGCUUACUACUUUUUUUUGUCGGUUUAUUGGCAUUUCAAUGUAGCGAUUCUGAGAUUCAAUUGAAAUUGAAGAAUAAAGCAUACUAGUCCUAGUUUUCAAUUUUCACUUAAGUUCCUAUGAGAAUCUGACCUAAUUUCUAAUUUUACGUAAAGUACAUGAUGUGUCUGCAUGAUUCACGCAAAGAUAAUCAAGUCAAGGAAUGACUCGAAUUUGACAGUUGUUUUAGUUAAAGUAGUUAUAGAAGUCAAGUAUCAAUGUAAAAUCUAAGUACACUAUCCUUCAUUUCUAAUUGUUUCCAAGUUUCUAGUAGGUUAUAACUUAGCUUCUAGAUUCUAAGUCUAGCAUGUUUUGUUCCUAUAUGUGAAACUAGGUUUAUUCACUUCUAUAACUGACUCGAAGUUUGACGGUUGUCACGAAUGCGAACUUCGAAACCCACUAGGCUCUCAUUGGUUCUGAUGGACUACUGCUGACAUGUUAGUUCCAUUGGGCUGGUGCACGUAGCUGGGUGUGAAAUCUACUAGGGAUAAAUGGUACGACGGAUUUUCAUGGUUAAUUGUGUGGAAAGAUUCUAGAGACACUUUUAAGUUAUUUUUAUCCUCUAUUUAUUAGUUUCCUUUUUAUCUAAUAGGUUCUUUUAGUUACUAGUUUCCUUUUAUUAUAUAAUCAUUGUAAGGCUAUAAAUAGCCCUAAUGUCUAACCUUUUGAAUAUAGUUGAAUGAACUGAAUUUUGAAAAACUUUGUUCUUUUGAGUUGCAUACUCGCACCCUUUAUCAAUUCUAGGACGUGUAUUCUAGGUUAACUCAAAUUCAAAUCAAUAGGGCUUGAUAUGUUUUCAUCGAUACUCAAUCUAUAGGCCUAGAUUGUUUAUCAAAGCUAUUUUUUCUUGUUUUCUUGUUGUUGUUCUUGUUCUUUGAUCAUUAUUUUUAAAUUUUGAUGUUUUCAUAAAAACCUAAAAGGAAACCCCAUCCAUACACGUAUUAUAGGUGGUAUCCGAGACUAGUUUUGAUUGACUAGUUUGUUUGAUUUCAUUCGUUGUCAAUUUUGUUAAUUUUGAUCGUCGUUAAAAAAAUUGUUAGAGCUCAGUGUCGAUUUGUUGUUGUUAUUUUGUGGUUCUUUUUUGAUUCAACAAGUUUGCUUUUCAGAUUGUUACUAUUGAUUAUGGUUGAAAUCUCAUCAGGAGUCAAGAACAUGAAUGAUCCAGAUUUUUUUAAUGUCUUGCAUGAAGUAUUGCGUGGAUUUCAAGAAGAAGGUAGGCGACAAUAGCUAGGGAAGGUUGGAGGCGUGAAUGUGAAGGACUUACCUAAGCUCAUUGGUGGAUUUGAUACAGAAGAAUUGGAUUGGAAAGAAAGGAUCGAAAGAAUUUUUAAGUUCAAAGGUUUGGAUGAUGAGAGAGCUGCAAACAUGCGAUCAUGAAGUUGAAUGGAGGAGUUUCGAUAUGGUUCCAAGACUUAAAGAGAAGGAGAGCUCGUGAAGAAAGAAGAAAAUCUAAUCAUGGGAAUCUCUAAAAUACGAACUCGGAAGAAGGUAUGUUCCUGCACAUCAUCGAAUCACAAAUUAUCCAAAAUUUUCUAAAUCUUGGCUAAGAAAAUUAGAUGUCAUCGGUUUUGAUGGGAGAGACCAUUAUGAUUAAAGAACCUACUAUUGUGCAAGAAUCUUAUGUUGUUAUUGAGUUUGCUGUGAAAGAAAAAUAUGAUGUGAGUGAGCAGGCUUGUGAAGACAAAGAAGUUGAUGAGAACAACUUCAUCUUUAAUGUCGCACUUUGGUACGAACCAAAAAACGACAUUGACAAGAUAGCAUUUCCCAAUGCCUAAACAAUAGAAAAAGAGGAGAAAUAUGUUGUUGUUGAUGUCGAUGGGAAAGAAGAAGUCACUGAAGAAAUUAAUUUUGUAAGCAAAAUUAAAGAAAUAGUUGUUGAAGAUUCUAAUCAUAUAUACAACACCGAUGAUGAAUGUGAAAUUAAGAAAGAGAAGUUUAAUGAAGAAAUUAAAGACAUUGUUGAAGACGCUACCCCUAUCUAUGACACUGAUGGGGAAGGGGAAUUUGUUUAAUGAAUUUAUUUCAUGGUUGGAGACAUAAUUGCUGGAACCAGUUCGGAAGAAAUCAAUUUUGUUGAUACAUAAAAAAUUGUGGAAAAGGCAGUGUUCUCUUAACAGCAAAAGGAGUUUCAAGCACCUAUGUCAUCUACAGACAUGAAGCCAACAGAUGACGAACAGAUCCACAAGCUGAAUUUGGCUUUGUUGGCAAGUUAAAAGGUUGUAGAAAUAGAAAAGAUGGUAAGAGAAGAAGACCCAAAGGCGAAUUUACCCAUGGAGUGUCAAGGUGCAACUUUCUGAUAAGGUUGCGUGUCAUUGUGAUCCAGAGGAGGUCAAGAGAUUGUGAAAGUAUGUUGGUGAAUCAUUGAAGAUGGGUUAUGAUUGCCAUCACGACAUGACAACAUAUUUAAACGAGACUGAUUUGGAUCGUGGCCGAGUCUGUGAUCGGGUUGAGUUUACUCUCCCACGACGUGUGCAAGUGUUGGUCAUCACGUGAGGGUCAACCGAUGGUGAAGUUGAGUAUUCACUUUUACUUUGACUAUUGAUUUGUUGAACUGGGUUGACUUUUGGUCAAUUUGCUAGUUCUAGAGUACAAAUUAAGGUGUGACCUUGUUUGACUCGAUAAGUCGGUUGUAAAACCUAUGUCGUGGCAUUGAGUUGUGGGUUGUUUGACUUCGCGAGAAAGGUGACUCUUCUCACUAUACUGUAUAGGAUGCUAGUUGUCACACCCCCAAACCAGAAUGACGGAAACAAUCGGGGGUGGAUGACUUCACGUAGUACCAUAACAAUCGAAUAUCGUAAAGAAAGUAACACAACCAUCAUAUAUAUAAUAAAAACGUACAUUGUUGCGUUAUACAUGUUUCCAAAAGAAUAUUAAAAUAUGAUGAUUUAAAAUGUUUGAUAAUAAACGCCUUUAGCAUUCCUUCUUCAAAAGCUGGUAGUUACCUGUAUUACUGAUUCCCUGAGAAAUACAAGUGGUUUUGAAAAAGUGUCAACAAUAAAGUUGGUGAGUUCAUAAAUAUUUUGUAUUGAAAAAGUAUGUCUUUUUGAAAGAAAGUCGAUGAACGUGGUUUUCUGAAAAUCCAAUAUUUUCCACAUUUAGUUUGAAAAGUUCCCAAGGUUGGAGGGCGUUAGUAUAUUUCGUAUUUAAAUGAUAAAGAUAAGUUUUGUACUCAAAAUAAUGUAAAUACUGAAUGCAUGUAUGAAUCUCGUAAAUCAAGCUUGUUUUUAUACUUUCAUGUGAGUCUUAUAACCAUACUAUUGACACAGACUGCCUGUAACAACAUUCUUCAGGUGUUGUAGCGUUAUGACAUUUGUCACCCCAAACCUGCCGGUCUAACUGUAGCUAACAGUUUAGGUGCGGGGUUGUCAAUCCCGUAUAGAUCUAUACACAAGUAUCACGUUCUCCCUCCAAGAGAUUAUGGUUUAUAAUAAAGGACUUGAAAUGCAUACUAGAGAGUACAUUGAAGUUGAAUAUCUCACAACACUUAGUAUAAAUAGAUUUAUGAUAUGAAAGUCUUCGUUUCGCUUCAGAUGAAAGUAUUUCGUUUUUCAUGAUGUUUACAUAAGAAUAUAUGAAUAACUCACAAACAAUACCCAUUAUAGUUUUUCAGAGAGUAUGUUCCAUUUGGUGAAAAUAGCUUGGUAAUAUACUAAACUUUAUAUGUAAAGUAAGAUGUUGGUAUCGAAAAAUAAUAAGAUAGAUGUUGCAUUCAUGUUUAUAAAAAGAUACAUUUUCUUGUAUUGUACUUGUAUUUCCCCCCCUAAAAGAUGAAAAGACUUGAAAAGUAGGGGUAUGAACUCACUUGUUCGGUUUGAAGAGAGUGGGACCAGAGUCGAGCAGAACUUCAACCGCGGAAAGUUGCGUCUUCGAGCUUCUCGGGAAUCUUGGUAGCGUAGAACCUUCGUCGGGGGCUCGAGUGAGGAACCGAGGGUGUCGGGAUGGUCUCUGGUAUGUAAGAGUGUGUGAGUGUGAGUGAAAGUUUGAGAGAGGUGUACUAAAAUCUGAAGCUUAUACCUUUUAUUUAUAGGCCUGAGGGCGCGAGUACGUUGGGCAUACCACCGGAGUACGCUAGGCGUACGCGUUAUGCUGGGCGUACUUCGGUUAAGCUGGGCGUAACUUUGCGUUAUGGCUUACGACUCGGGUCUAGCUAGGCGUAGAGCUCGCAGCCGAUGGGACUCGACCCUGCACCUGAGUACGCUGGGCGUACUCCUAAAUUAUGCUAGGCGUAAUUCUGGCUUCCAUCUUCUAAAUUCCGUAACUUUCGCAUACGGGCUUCGUUUUUCGCGUUCUUUAUAUCCACGUGUAGGUGAGAUUAUGCUCUACAACUUUCAUUUAGACUCCGUCGGCUAGUUUUGACUUUAUUUUUAAUGUUAUGUUCUUAAUAGGCCGGGACUGCUAAAGUCCAUUAAAAAUUCAUAGUUUCUUUAUCCGACGUUGGUUUUCGUUUGUCUUUUUAUCAUCUUACUCCUAUUGUGGAGACCUUCAACUCUCGUUUAGGUUGCGUUAGCUAAAUAUCGUUCGAUCUUCAAUUCGAGUUUUUAGCUCUCUACUACUGUUACGAAACUUAGAAAAUUCGUAACAUCUUAAUACAAGGUCCAAUUUGGGUGAUCUUUUUAUGUACGUUUACAGUUUAACGAACUCUACAACUUUUGUUUAGAUACUUAAGGCUAAAAUGCAUUUCAUUGGAAUUUCACUUUUUACGUUAAAUAGUGUUUUAUCGGGUGUGUCGUAAAUAUUUGAGUGGUUAUAAUUUCUUCAAUAUAACCCGGUUUUGAAUGUUCUUUAUGUUUUUGGAAACCUUGGCACGAUAUCUAACAUUUGAUGCAUCCCAAUUUAGAUAUGUGGACACUUUAUUUUUAAGGUUAAUUUUGUUGAUUCCAAAUAGUUUUCGUUGUAUUUGACUUUUGAGUGUUACAUUGCUUUUUGGAAAAAGUAUAGGGUUGUCACAUCAUCCUCCCAUUAGGGGAAUUUCGUCCCGAAAUUUAAUCUAAGACUGAGUUUACGGGUUAGGGAAGAGAUACGAGUACUUUUGUUUCAUCGUAUCCUCGCGUUCCCAGGUGUAUUCAGGUCCUCGCAUGGCGUUCCAGCGGACCUUUACAAUAGGUAUGCGGCUUUGUUUAGUCCUUUUAAUUUCCCGAUCCAUGAUCUCUACUGGUUCUUCUACGAAUUGGAGAUUCUCAUUUAUUGCAAUUUCUUCUAGAGUGAUGACAAUGGUCUCAUCGGACAAGCACUUCUUUAGGUUUGAUACGUGAAAGGUAGGGUGUACUUUGUGGAGUUCCUGAGGUAAUCAAAGUUUGUAAGCCACCGGACCGAUCCUGGCAAGGAUCUCGAAUGGUCCAAUGUAUCUUGGGUUCAGUUUCCCACGCUUUCCGAAACAUAUUAAUCCUUUCCAGGGAGAGACGUUUAGUAGGACACGGUCUCCAACCAUGAAUUCCAAGGGUUUUCGUCUUUUAUCCGCGUAACUCUUUUGUCUGUCCCUUGAUGCUUUCAGUCGUUCCCGGAUUUGAACAAUCUUCUUCGUAGUUUCCCUUAUGAUUUCUGGCCCAGUGAGUUUGUUGUUUGCUGCUUGUCCUCUUGAUAGUUGUGUGUCACCAGUUCAGCCUAGCACAGAGGCGAUCUGCAUUUACGGCCGUAGAGGGCUUCGAACGGGGCAGCCUUGAUGCUAGUGUGGUAGCUAUUGUUGUACAAGAACUCGACCAAGGGUAGAUGGGUGUCCCAUGCUUUGCCAAAAUCGAUUACGCAAGAAUGGUUCUCUCACUCUGGGCGUCAGUUUGUGGGUGAUAAGCAGUACUCAUGUCUAGUCUUAUUCCUAGAGAUUUUUGUAGCGACUGCCAGAACCUUGAGGUGAAUCUACUAUCUCGGUCUGAGAUAAUGGAUAUGGGCACACUGUGCAGCCGUACAAUCUCUCUGAGGUAUGUUCUAGUUACUUUCUCCAAUUUAUCCGUUUCUUUGAUUGGUAGGAAGUGCGCUGAUUUAGUUAAUCUGUUGAUGAUCACCCAGAUGGUGUCGAGUCCGCUUGCUGUCUUGGGUAAUUUGGUUAUGAAAUCCAUGGUUAUCCGCUCCCACUUCCAUUCGGGUAUCUCUAGUUGUUGCAACAAUCCCGAGGGCUUUUGGUAUUCCACCUUGACUUUGGCGCAUGUUAGACAUCUGCUCACGUAGGUAGCAAUUUCGGCUUUCAUGUUCAGCCACCAGUACAGUUUCUUGAGGUCAAGAUAAAUCUUAUCAGAGCCGGGAUGUAUGGAGUAUCGUGUCUUAUGGGAUUCGUUAAUGACGACUUCUCUGAAUCCGCCAAACUUCGGUGUCUAGAUCCGAUCCAUGAAGUAACGAACUCCAUUGUUCUUGACUUCAAGCUUCUUAUCCAUUCCCUUUAAAGCUUCUACUAUCACGUUUUCAGAUUUUAAGGCUUCUAUCCGGGCUUCCUUGAUUUGCGUGGACAGCUGUGAAUGGAUUGUCAUAGUUAGAGACUUCACUCUACGGCCCGAGUAUUCCUUCCGGUUCAGUGCAUCGGCCACCACGUUAGCCUUUCCGGGAUGAUAUCGAAUUUCGCAUUCGUAAUCAUUUAGUAGUUCUACCCACCGUCUUUGUCUCAUGUUGAGUUCUUUCUGGUUGAGGAUAUGCUGGAGGCUUUUAUGAUCGGUGAAGAUUGUACAUUUUGUGCCGUAGAGAUAGUGCCUCCAUAUUUUUAGAGCGAAAAUGACUGCUCCUAGCUCGAGAUCGUGUGUUGUGUAGUUUGCUUCGUGCCUCUUUAGUUGUCUUGAGGCGUAGGCGAUGACCUUCCCUCGUUGCAUCAGGACACACCCAAUUCCUUGGUUUGGCGCAUCACAAUAGACCACGAAGUCCUCCGUUCCUUCUCGUAAGGUUAGAAUGGGCGCACUAUAUAAGGCUUGCUUUAGUGUUUGGAACGCGAUGUCUUGUUUUUCUCACCAGUCGAAGCUCACGCUCUUCUGAGUUAGGGUGGUAAGUGGCUUAGCAAUAUUCGAAAAGUUUUGUAUGAACCUUCGGUAAUACCUGGCGAGUCCCAAAAAUUGUCGGAUUUCUAUUGGGGGUUCUUGGAAUCGUCCAAUUCUAUAUUGCCUUGAUCUUAGAAGGAUCCACGUGUAUCCCCUCUUUGCUUACUACGUGACCUAGGAAAUCUACUUCCCGAAUCCAAAACUCACACUUUGAAAAUUUUGCAUAUAGUUUUUCUGCCCUCAAUGUUUCCAAGACUUGGCAGAGGUGUUGGCUGUGUUCUUCCUUGCUUCUUGAAUAGAUGAGUAUAUUAUCUAUGAACACGAUCACAAAUUUAUCCAGGAAGGGACGACAUACCCUGUUCAUCAAGUCCAUGAACGAUGCUGGUGCAUUUUUCAAACCAAAGGGCAUCAACACAAACUCGUAGUGACCAUAGCGUGUUCGGAAUGCCGUUUUGGGGAUGUCUCCUUCUAGCACUCACAGUUGGUGAUAACCAAAUCUUAGAUCGAUCUUUGAGAAGUAGCUUGCUCCCUGUAGUUGGUCGAACAGAUCGUCUAUGCGCGGUAGGGGAUAUCGGUUCUUGAUCAUGAGUUUGUUCAGCUCCCGGUAAUCGAUGCACAUGCAAAAAGAUACGUCCUUCUUCUUCACAAAUAGGACCGGUGCUCCCCAUGGUGAGAAGCUCGGUCUGAUGAAGCGCUUGCUUAGCAGCUCGUUCAAUUGACUGGACAGUUCCUGCAUCUCUGUUGGGGCUAGACGGUAAGGCGACUUUGCUACUGGAGUGGCUCCGCAAAUUAAGUCGAUUCUGAACUCGACUUGGCGUUCAGGUGGGAUCCCUGGAAGAUCUUCUGGGAAGAUGUCUGGGAAGUUGCAAACUUCUGGAAUGUCUUUAAUGUUCUUCGGUUCUUGUUUCUGGUCUACUACGUGAGCUAGAAAGGCAUGAUAUUCCCUGCGAAGAUAUUUUUGUUCUUUAACACAGGAGAUGAUUUGUAAAUUUGUACUAGGUUUGUCACCAUAAAUGACAAGAGUUUCGCCGUUUGGCAGAUUUAGGCGAACGGCCCUUUCGUGACAAAGUAUAUCGGCAUGGUGAAGACUUAACCAGUCCAUACUGAUGAUGACAUCAAAACUUCUUAUUGAAAUGGGCAUAAGGUCGAUUUGAAAUAAGUGCUCGUUUAAAUUUAAUGUGCACCCUACGUACAUAUCACUUGCGCUUUCCGUUUUACCGUUUGCCAUUUCUACAUUGAAUAUUUUAUUGAGUGGUUGGGGUUUUUGAUUAAGUAGGUGUUUGAAUUUUUGACUCACAAAGCUUCUCUCCGCACCGCAGUCAAAGAGUAUGCAUGCAUAAAUGUUGUUGAGGAGAAACGUACCCGUAACCACCAUGGGGUCAGCUAUUGCUUCAUUUUGACCUAUCGCCAGCACUCUCCCAACACCGCCAACAUUCUUUGCCUUGGGGCAAUCCCUCUUGAAGUGCCUAGUUUCUCCACACCCAUAACAUGCAUGGCUUAUCCCAGUACCAGGAACUUGAGUGAUUGGUCACGCCGGUGCCUUACAAAAAUAGACAGUGUGCCCUUUCCUGUAACAGUUUUUACAGUGCAUCUCACGGCAAUUACCGUGGUGAUGGUAGUUGCAUUUGCUGCACUUUGGCAGGUUCCCAGCAUAUUGUUUUGUUGGCACAGGGGUAGCAGGAUUUGUAGUGGGAGCAGUAGCGGCAUGAACCGCCACCAUUUGUUUCUUUGAAGGUUCUUGUGAAGUUUUCCCCUUUCUCUUGUUCCAGAACUUCUUAUUGCUGUUGUUGUUGGCAUUGUUAUCGUUGUUGUUGUUCCCUUUGGUUGGUUCAGCGACGAUAGCCGUGACGCCUUGACCGACACGAUGAUCGACGAGAGAUUGCCCCAGUUCCUUGGCGUUGUUGAAUGUCAUGGGUUUGGAGGCUAACACACUCCCUCAAAGUUGGGGUGAUAGUCCCCAGAUAUACCUUUCCACCUUUUGGCUUUCCAGGAUCAACAUUCCUGGGCAAAGUAUUAUCAAGUCACUGAAUCUGUUGGUAUAGCCUGCGAUGUCCGAGCCUACCAUCGUAAGGCCCCACAGUUCCUGUUCGAGCUUCUGAAUCUCGCCUCUUGGGUAGUACUCUCGUAGGAGCAUUCGUUUCAGAUUUUCCCAACCCAUGGAGUUCGCCACCACUAGGGUUAGUGUCUUGAUGUGGCCGUUCCACCACGUCAGGGCUCGUUCGGAGAAAGUAAAAGCGGAAAAUUUAUUUUGCAUUCUUCAGGGCAUGCGCAAAUUUCGAAUACAGCUUCCGUUUUCUUUUUCCAUUGGGAUAGAGCCAUCACUCCUCCAGUCCCAUAAAAGGGAAUAGGUUUUCUGUUGGUGAAGUCCUUGUAAGUACAUACCUUGGAACGGCCUUGGCUUUGGCCAUUUGUAAACUUGUUUAUUUCUCCUCCUGACCCGUUGUUACUCAUUUGUGCCGUUGUUGUAGUUACAGCGGCUAUUACAGCGGUUUGGAACAUAGCUGCAUCCAUAGUUGGAGGAGGCGGUGGAGGUGGUGUUGGAGCUGAGUUUAUGUGUGCUGACCUACGAGGAGGCAUGUUCUGGUAGAGAAAUAAUAAUGAACACUAUAAAUUUCUAAUGAUUUGACAAUCGUGUACUAGAGGGUUAGUUGUAUCUUGUAAUUUGUUUUCACUUUAGUUUAUGGUUUCAAAGUAGAUAUAAAAAUUUAGAUAAUCCCAUAAGUUUCGAGAGGUAUGUAAAGAAGCACUUUAUAUUUAUAUAUAUGUCACGCAUAUGGUGCGGUACAUUAUGCUUCGUGUUUAGGAAAAUUUGACCUAUCUAGAGGUCUCCGAUUACAAGUUCAAAGGAAAUAAGAAAAACUUUAUCCGAGGUCCUAUUGUAUAUCAAAAUUGUUGGAGUUGGGCAAGUUCUACUUGCGACGUGUUGUGCGUUUGGAGCUAGACUCGGCAUCCGACUGCUUGACUCCCAUUAGGCGCCUUUCAAGAACUGCUUGUUGUUCCUUCAUCUCUCUUAUUUCUGCCAGUGCUGUCACCAUUUGGCUUUGAAGCGUCCCUGUGUGGAGUUGGGUACUUUCGUGUAGUCCGUCCAAGCGAUAGAUGUAUGCGGCGUUACCCUGUGUAGCAGCAUUGACCUCACGGAUUCUGUCCGCAUGCACGUCUAACUGGUAGUUCUGGGUGGCUAUUGUGCCCACAAUAACGAGAAGUGCUCAAUCAGCUGAGCCUCCGCCACUGACAUUGUAAAACUCUAGACACUUGCCAAAGGCAGGGCGUACACCUAGUUGACGGCUCCAAUGGUAGAGAUGGCUUUCCCAAAUGGGAAUGGGACCCUGGUAUCCUAUUCUGACUUUGGUAGGACGGGGAGCGGGAUGGUUGAUUACUUCCGGCUCGGAGUCUGUUCCAUCAGUAGCUUCUUCUUCCUCCUCGACCUCUUCGUCGGCUUCGAAUUCCUCUCCGACUUCGACUUCGAAUUCUUCUUCGACUUCCUCUUCGAUUUCCUAUGGGUCUUCCUCUAGGUCUUCUUCUAUCCAUCCACCGCUUGGUUUGGGUAGUAGGGAUCUCCCGGUAUAUGGAAUCCGGCCAUUUGUCUGUACUAGGAUAGAGGUAUGAGAAUUUUAUAAGAAAAGAAAUUCCUAUUUAAUGGCAUCCUAAGUUUAACUACAUCUUAUGGUGUGCAGGUUUUUCAUUGUCCUAUUAUUUUAUAACAAUACUCCUAUAGUAUUUCAAAUUUGCGAGUCUAAAAAAAAUUUAUUUGGUAAGUUUUUGACUUGUUGUCCACUACGACCAUUCCUCGACGUACGUUGGUCAAAUCCAGGAUAAAUAUAGUUGAUCAGGCUAAAUUUAUUCUCGAUUUGAUUACAUACAUCGAGGCCCAAUCGUAGUGUUGCAACUUGCCCUAAUACUUUUUAGAAAACUUUGUUAUGAUACGAGACCGAUGCAUGCGCGUAAAAAUGUAUAUUUUUAAAAGAAAAUAUACUGUUUAUGAAAACGUUUUGUCAGAGGAUUUUUGGUCCCCUUUGCAUUUAUAGUUUGUAUAUCUUAUGUGGUUCGAUAUACUUAGUUCACUAUAAACAAUGCUCUGAUACCAAUCUGUCACACCUCCAAACCAGAAUGGCGGAAACAUUCGGGGGUGGAUGACUUCACGUAGUACCAUAACAAUUGAAUAUCGUAAAGAAAGUAACACAACCAUCAUAUAUAUAAUAAAAACGUACAUUGUUGCGUUAUACAUGUUUCCAAAAGAAUAUUAAAAUAUGAUGAUUUAAAAUGUUUGAUAAUAAAUGCCUUUAGCGUUCCUUCUUCAAAAGCUGGUAGUUACCUGUAUUACUGAUUCCCUGAGAAAUACAAGUGGUUUUGAAAAAGUGUCAACAAUAAGUUGGUGAGUUCAUAAAUGUUUUGUACUGAAAAAGUAUGUCUUUUUGAAAGAAAGUCGAUGAACGUGGUUUUCUGAAAAUCCAAUAUUUUCCACAUAUAGUUUUAAAAGUUCCCAAGGUUGGAGGGUGUUAGUAUCUUUCGUAUUUAAAUGAUAAAGAUAAGUUUUGUACUCAAAAUAAUAUAAAUACUGAAUGCAUGUAUGAAUCUUGUAAAUCAAGCUUGUUUUUAUACUUUCGUGUGAGUCUUAUAACCAUACUAUUGACACAAACUGCCUGUAACAACAUUCUUCAGGUGUUGUAGCAUUAUGACAUUUGUCACCCCAGACCUGCCGGUCUAACUGUAGCUAACAGUUUAGGUGCGGGGUUGUCAAUCCCGUAUAGAUCUAUACACAAGUAUCACGCUCUCCCUCCAAUAGAUUAUGGUUUAUAAUACAGGACUUGAAAUGCAUACUAGAGAGUACGUUGAAGUUGAAUAUCUCACAACACUUAGUAUAAAUAGAUUUACGAUAUGAAAGUCUUCGUUUCGCUUCGGAUGAAAGUAUUUUGUUUUUCAUGAUAUUUACAUAAGAAUAUAUGAAUAACUCACAAACAAUACCCAUUAUAGUUUUUCAGAAAGUAUGUUCCAUUUGGUGAAAAUAACUUGGUAAUAUACUAAACUUUAUACGUAAAGUAAGAUGUUGGUAUCGAAAAAUAAUAAGAUAGAUGUUGCAUUUAUGUUUAUAAAACGAUACGUUUUCUUGUUUUUUACCUGUAUUUCCCCCCCCCCCCCCCUAAAACAUGAAAAGACUUGAAAAGUAGGGGUAUGAACUCAUUUGUUCGUUUUGAAGAGAGUAGGAGUAGAGUCGAGUAGAACUUCAACCGCGGAAAGCUGCGUCUUCGAGCUUCUCGGGAAUCUUGGUAGCGUAGAACCUUCGCCGGGGGCUCGAGUGUGGAACCGAGGGUGUCGGGAUGGUCUCUGGUAUGUAAGAGUGUGUGAGUGUGUGUGAAAUUUUGAAAGAGGUGUACUAAAAUCCGGAGCUUAUGCCUUCUAUUUAUAGGGUUGAGGGUGCGAGUACACUGGGCGUACCACCGUAGUACGCUAGGCGUAUGCGUUACGCUAGGCGUAACUUUGCGUCAUGACUUAGACUCGGGUCUAGCUAGGCGUAGAGCUCGCAGCCGAUGGGACUCGACCCUGCACCUGAGUACGCUGGACGUACUCCUGAAUUAUGGUGGGCGUAAUUAUGGCUUCCAUCUUCUAAAUUUCAUAACUUUCGCAUACGUGCUCUGUUUUUCGCGUUCUUUAUAUCCACGCGUAGGUGAGAUUAUGCUCUACAACUUUCAUUUAGACUCCGUCGGCUAGUUUUGAAUUUAUUUUUAAUGCUAUGUUUUUAAUAGGCCGGGACUGCUAAAGUCUGUUAAAAAUUCAUAGUUUCUUUAUCCGACGUCGGUUUUCGUUUGUCUUUUUAUCAUCUUACUCCUAUUGUGGAGACCUUCAACUCUCGUUUAGGUUGCGUUAGCUAAAUAUCGUUCGAUCUUCAAUUCAAGUUCUUAGCUCUCUACUAUUGUUACGAAACUUAGAAAAUUCGUAACUUCUUCAUACGAGGUCCAACUUGGGCGAUAUUUUUAUGUACGUUUACAGUUUAAUGAACUCUACAACUUUUGUUUAGAUACUUAAGGCUAAAAUGCAUUUUAUUGGAAUUUCACUUUUUACGUUAAAUAGUGUUUUACUGGGUGUGUCGUAAAUAUUUGAGUGGUUAUAGUUUCUUCAAUAUAACCCAGUUUCGAAUGUUCUUUAUGUUUUUGGAAACCUUGGCACGAUAUCUAACAUUUGAUGCAUCCCAAUUUAGAUAUUUGAACACUUUAUUUUUGAGGUUAAUUUCGUUGAUUCCAAAUAGUUUUCGUUGUAUUUGACUUUUGAGUGUUACAUUGCUUUUUGGAAAAAUAUAGGGUUGUCACACUAGUUGUCUUUGUGACUCUUGCAUUGCGUGUUGGGUUGGACCUUAUUGGAAUGCUUGGUUGGGCUUUGUUGUAUGAUCGGCGGGACCCAAUAUGUGGGCGGGGCCUUUUAUGUGGAUGUACCCUGAUAUGAUGGGUGGGACCCAUUGUUAUGUAUGGUAUGUUGUAUUUUUGGGAACUUACUAAGCUUUGAGCUUAUGGUUUUGUGGUUUAAAUAUUUUUAGGUACUUCCAGUUCUAAAGGGAAGGGCCCGGCUUGACUAGAUAGCACUGCUUGAUGGCUUUUUCUUCAUUUAUGAUUAACAUUUUACUCUGAUGUUUGAGUGAUUUAUUUUACUAUGAUUGAUUAUGAAGAAAUGAUUGUAUGGUUUUGAUGGUUUGAAAAUGAAAAUUUUUGUUAGUAUUUUUAGGAUGUUACAGGCUGGUAUCAGAACCUUGUAUUGAGGGAUUCAAGCACACUCUUGGGUGUUUCUGAACUCAAACUGAGGAAUUGAUAAUCUUUUCAAACGAAAAUAAAUUCUCUAAAAAUAUUUUUAUGAAUAAAAAUGGCGUGAUCGUGCAAUUAACCAAACUCAGGUCAGUGAUUCCCAAAAUACACAUACAUGAGUAGUAUGCUUAAUAUGCUAUUAUAUGAGUUACCUUCGGGAAUAGCAUGAUAUAAUUGUCUGAUUUGUGUGAUGCCUUGUAGCCUAGGAGGAAUUGGUUGUUAUGUAUUACUUGGAGUCUAUAUUGGCAAAGUUAAUUGCUAAGUGUAUGUUUGAAAAUUGUAUACGAUUAGGAUCAUAUAACCUUAGAAUGAUCGAUUUAGCCUUAUUUCCUAUUCCUUGUCUGGAUGUAGGCUUAGGGUAGAAUCAUUUAUUAGAUAGUCUAUUUGAUCACAUAUUGUGUAUAACUUGCAUGUAUAAGGCAACUGACGAUGUUGGUAAAGGUUCCUAGUAUUGCGGAAGCAAGUGAGUCGAGGAUACCUAGAAGAGCCUAGGGUGUGCUAUAGCAAUAUGUGCAUGUUGUUUAGCAUAGGGAUUAUGAGAGUUACCAUAGUGAAGUAAACUAGAAGAUAUGGGAUGAUUCUUGAGAAAAGUUUGGAUAGGUGUGGAAGGUAGUAUUGGGCCCAUACUAUUGAAAACACAGGAUCCAUGCUCGAAUCAAGGAAAAUCACAGAGAUCCUAAGGAGCAUGUACUACAAGAGUUCCAUCGAGUGUGUUUUGAUUGUUUGUACAUUUACAUUUCAGUAUGGUGGUGAGAACUCGAGGAGGAUGUUCUAGCUCAGGUUCUAGUUUAGGCUCUGGUGUUGAACCGAUUAAUGACAGGAUACGCGAGUUCAUUUCAUUAGAGAUCACUCAUGGACCUGUUAGAUGAUAUUUUACCAGCCUUUCAUGUCAAUAUUUUAACUGCUCAAUUAGGGGCAUAUACUCUCUUUUCAGGAGUUCACCGUUUUCAAGACCCAUAGUUCUUCAACAACAAGGAGCACAUUGCUAGCAUAUGAUGGAUAGCUGAUAUGGAGAAUGCUCAGUGAAUGAGUUUCUGCCCCGAGGGAUCAAAAGUGGGAUUUGUAUCUUGCCUUCUGAGGGACCAAUCUCGCGACUUGUGGGAGGAGGUUGCCCGUGCUUUGGGGGAUGAGGUUGCAAUGGCCAUGACUUGGACCAAUUUUCUAAUGAGAUUAGGGGUGGAUUUUGCACCUGCUAAUGAGGUGCAAUAGUUGGUGAGGGAGUUUCACAACUUGUGCUAGACAUUGGAGACUAUCACAGAGAUCAACACCAAGUUCAGGGAGAGGGCUCUACUGGUACCACAUUAUGUUGUUGAUAAUGAGAUGAGGAGGACGAGGUAUCAUGACAUCCUCGUGGAUGACAUAUGAGAGUUUGUGAGCAUUUCGAGAUUUAAUAUGUUGGAUGAUACGAUUGCUAGUGCCUAAGAAUGGGAGAAUGAGUUGGAGCUUCAUACGAAGCGCAAGACAGAGCAGGUUCAGACAGUAGUGGGCCUAGCAAAAAAGGCCCAAAAUUUUUGAUCCAUGGUCAAGAGGCCAAUAGGUUGGGGGACGUUGCACCAAGUAUGGGAGGUCUCAUGAGGGGAGUUAUCGUGAGAAGGGAAGUUCUUACUUUAAUUACGACCAUCCUGGUCAUUUUAAUAGGAAUUGCACUCGGUGAACACUCACAUGCUUCCAUUGCCAUUAGAUGAACCAUAAGAAGGUUGGUUGUAUGAGAUUAUUAGGUCGAGCGACGAGGGCUCUCGCUCCAGCUUCAUAGAGGAUUAUUGAUGGCCGAGGGGUCAUGAAAGAAGCUCUUAAAGUGAGGAGAAUAGCUUUUCAAUUGAGGCCCGAGGAGGUCGGAGCAAUGCUACAUGUUGUCAUUGGUAUGUAUCCUUACCAUGUCUUUUACUUCUUUCAUUAUAUAUGCUUAUGUUUUAUUCUAGAUCUUGUAUACGUACGUUUUUAGUUAAUGGUUUGACUACUCGUAUUCUAUUCGAUUCAGGUGCUACCCAAUCUUUUGCAUUUCUUACGCUUAGCAUGAAGUUUAGCGAUGCUCUAGGAACUUUGGAUUAUCCCUUGAAGGUGGAGAUUGUCAAUGAUUGUUUAGUAAGUGCUUCGAGAGUUCUUCGUGGAUGUGUUUUGAAUAUGUUUAGUGAGAGAUAUUCAAUUGAUCUAGUGCUGAUUCCUCUACGAGGGUCGAAGGUUAUAGUGGGUAUGGAUUGGUUAGGCCCCAAUGAGGCUUUGAUUGAUUGUAAGCACCACUUACUGAGAGUUCGAACCCCAAGCGGGGGAUAACUAGUUAUUCAUGGAGAGGGUGCACAAAAUGGACCAACUGUCUAUUCAACUACGAGAGCUAGUGUUGGAUUAAUGUCUAAGUCCAUAACUAUAAUUGGAAAGACUUGACCCGACCCAGCAUGGUCCAUUUGGGUUGCAUGGCAUCAUGCACUUGGAUAGACUAAAUAAGAGAAAUAAGACACUUAUGGUUAUUAAUAUAUUAUAAGUUCUAGUAUAUUAAUAAUAAGAAUAAUAAGAUUAUUGAAUUAGUAUUGAUCAAGAAUUAAUCUAGGAUUAAUUAAGUGAUCAAAAGAAGACUAAUUAAAUAUAUGGGUUGAUUGUGCAAAUCAUCCAUACUUAUAUAGUGGGCUAAUGCUCCAUGGAUUAUCUAGUUGGGCUAAAACCCAUAUGAUGCUCCAUGGUGUAUUUGUACCCAUGGAUCAUGGAAAUGAAAGGCCAUGAAAAUUAGGGUUUACAUGGUGUAAUCCUAACUAUAUAUGCAUCUUAUUCUUGACCAAAAUCGGCCACUAGAGAGUGUAAGAAAGGGCUAGCCGAUUUUCAUGAAGUGUAGAAUUCUCUCAAGUUAUUCCAAGUGUAUUUGGUGUUGUGUGAACCAUUUGAGGUGUCACACUUGAGGCACUUGGCACUCAAGCUUCAUGAAGACUUUCUACAUGAAAGAGGUAUGUAUUCUAUCUUGUAAUAUUCAUUAUUUUAUAUGCUAGAUUAGGAUAAUACCUUGGAUGUUCAUAAUUGUAUGUAUAAUAGAGAAAACAUAGAUCCAAGGUAUUUAGGGUUGCAUGUACACUUAGGAGUGUUAGAAUGCUCAAAACCCAACAGUGGUAUCAGAGCCUAGGCUUGUUUUCUUGUUAUACUUGCAAAAGAAGCUGGAAAAUCGAGUUUUGAUGCUGUCUGCCCAGCAGACUCGCCGAGUCCAUGAAUGGACUCGCCGAGUCCAAGGCAAAAUGCAUCCAACUCGCCGAGUUGGUUCGUGCACUCGACGAGUUGGACCCCCAGACAGCAUAAAUUCGACUUUUUUGGCUGGAAUUGGACUAGGAACAUUACCCUAAGAUGUUUUUGGACUUAUAAACUUGUUUUUGAUGUGGUAAUGUUCAUGCUAAUCCAAUUUCAAAGAUAAUUGUCAAUAGAUUCAUGUUUUGUAUUAGUUUAAGGUUUAGACUAAUUACAUGAAAAAGUUUGAUUUGAAUUAUCUUGUUCUUAUGAGUUGCUUAGAUUAAUAGAAAAGUUGAGUGAAAUAGUUGUUUUCAAUCCAAAUUAAUCUAAGAGUUGAUUCUAAAAUGUGUUUUUGUAACUUGUCCUCAAGUUAUAUGAAAAGUCACAUUUAAGUUUCAUAAAACUCAUAAAAGUUGGCAAAGGUUACAAAAAUGAAGAGUCUAGUUCUAAUUAAAUGGUUUUAUGACUCCAUAACUUGUCCUCAAGUUAUGGAGGACCAAGAGUCUCUUCAUUAAAUAAUAAAUAAAAAAAAAAAUUGUAACCUUAAUUAAUUCCAUAAGUUAUAAAAUACAGAAAAAGUUAAUUCUUUUAUUAGUUUAAAGUCUUCCAUAACUUGUCCUCAAGUUAUGGAACUUGAAGAGUUUUUGGAUUAAAACUACUUUAAACACAUAAGUUAUGGAAUUAAUUAGUUUUGAAUAGUUUCAAAACUUGCCCUCAAGUUUUGGAAUUUGAAAAGUGUUCCUUAUGAAUACUUUAAUUCCAAGUUAGCCCUUAGAAUUUUAAAAGUUAAAAUUCAACCUUUAUACUUUAUAGUAUUAUAAGUUAAUAAUAUAUAUGUAUAAGAGCAAGUCAGUCUUAUCGUUAGUAGGCCUCAUUCACGAAGCCGGUCUAUAAGGGGGGUAUAAGGUUACUGCCUAUAAAAUGGCAGUUUAAUCGGUGUCGACUCUCACCCACCACUUCCUUGACCGGUGGAGGGUCGUUACCCGAAUGGGUUUGACAGGACUAUAAUUCUCCCUUUAUUAAAAGUAUUAAUGAUAAAUACUAAGUAACUAAACUCUUAAUAAUACCCAAUCUUAGUUACUUAGGAAAAUGUGAAUAAGGUGCUAAUCCAUGAAAUUACACUUUGCACUUUGUUUAAGUCGGUUAGUGGAGUGUGUGUGGUUAACCGGCACACUAACUCGUAUUUAACAAGGUAGGUAAAGGGUAACUUAAUGUUUAUCAUAGUAUCGAUGGAGCGUGUGUGGUUAACCGGCACAUCGAUUGAGGGGUAAACACUUAAGGGUACCAAGUAAUUUGCAUGGUUACUUCACACCUUGUUUUGUGAUCCUCGGCAUCCCAGUCACAAAACCUGAAGGGCACACUCGAGAUUGAAACAUGCCAUUGAACAGUUCAAUGAAUCUCAAAGAUCUAGGAGUUUCAAAACCAAUUAAAACCUAAUAAUACAUUUCGUUUAUCUUGGUGGAAAUUGGUGAAUCGUCAUUCACCUACCUUCAAAUAUUUUAUAGCUUGGAUUACGGCAUACCUCUUCUAAGUUAUAAAAUAGUUUGUUGGGUCCUAGCCUUAAUAUUUCAUAUUGGGUGUCAUAUUAAGGACUUUAAAUCAACUAUCUUGAAUAUCUCCCAAAAGAUGUCUGGUUUAGACAUUUAUGAUCUUCCCAAAUCUCUUGAAACAAGCUUUCCUAAUGAAGAUGAUGUCCCAUGGAUAUCAUACUUCUUCACCUCUUCAAAUUAUUCUCCCUAACCCACAAGUUCUUGAAAAGUUUAAGGUCACUCAAGCCCUAUUGGCAAGGCAAGGUCUAGGUGUGAUCACAUCUUGGAGAUG